AUAUGCAACUAGCGUGUCCGUCUAACCAAGUUUAUUGACUGUUUAUGGAGCAUUUGGUUACAUCAAUCGUAUUAAGUGGACAUGUUCAAUCACAUGCUGGUCGUUACAUCGAACCUGAUUUGUUUUCUGCCGCUAGGUUUUCCAUCUGAUUUCGAAGCCCUUGUGGUACUUCUCGGAUGCGUUUGAUCAUGGCAUUUGGUAUGCCUUUCCUUUGCUUGUGUUGGAUUCACAACCAUUUAUUAAGGUAGUUGGUUUGAAAACUGCGUGUUGUGGGACCUAUCUCUUGUUUUGAGAGGGCAGCAGGUAUUUACAGUGAUAGUCCUUUUUGUUAUGAAGUCUAAGAAGUUCAGAUCAUUCAGAGGGAGGGGGGCAAUCAGUUGGGUGGAGUUGUUUGCUUGGCAAGGCUGACUCGAAGCCAGGAUUGGUGUGCCUAGUGCAUCGUCACUUAUCUCUGUAGGCAUGCUCCGGUCGAUGAGUAACCUCGUAAUCGAGGUGAACAAAAGCUCGUUCAAUCUCCGGUAGCGACUCAAGUUUGUCUUGAAGUGAUUCGCCAAUAUCAUGUGCCUGGCGCAGAGGCAUGUCCGCUGCCAGCACAAUAUCGACUUCUGCAAAGUAAUGUGACCCAAAGGUGUAUGCACGGACGGGGUCAAUUUGAGGCAUCUCCUACUGAUGAUUCCAGAAUAGAUAUGUCACCUCACGUAAUAUGUCUGUGGAGGAGAGGCUGAUCGACUACCCAAUGCGGUCCCAUUUUCUAGAACUGGUAGCGACCACGUCCGUGUACUUUUGUAACGUACAUUGAUUCUAUAAAGCAGAAAUACUUGUUUUUGCUUGAUGUCUCUAUAUAUUCACUUUAUUCCACAAUGUUACUUUAGCCAUAGUAACAUUGCUUGUUUGUGUGCUUGUUGUUUAAACCACAGAACUUUCUAUUUUGGUAAGGAAUUAGAAUCUAAGAUAUUGUUGUACUUUUAAUAUUUCAAUUCCAUACAUAAAAAGAUUUUGGAAUAAUUUUGGAAAGAAAUUGAGUUGAGUAUCCCAUUAAUUUUUGUUUAAGAAUCAAUGUUUAAGAAUCAAUGUUAUUAGUCAAUUCUACCUAAAGUCCAUAGAAAUGUUGAAGGUCUUUGUCAAUUAUGUUUUUGGCUUCAACUUUGAUAACUAUUUUUAUAAUCUUAGCAAUGCAAAUUGAUUUUUGUGUCUUAUAGAUCUUUUCUAUUUUUUUAAAGUUGUGUUUACCAUUUUUUAAAUGUAGAAUUAAUAAAUGAAAUUUUUUGACUUAUAAAAUGUAUAUAUUAAGUUGUGUUGACAAUGUGGCUACUAACUCUUUUUUGCCAUGCAUGCACCUCUAUAAUAUGGUACUAUGUCAAUUAAAACAAGUGAGCUUUUUUAUAUAUUUUUUUCUUCUUAUUUUAGACUUUAGUCCACUUUUAUAAUUAAUUGAAAGAUAAAAUUCUUUCCAAUUUUAUUAUAACAACAUUUCAAAUGAUGUCUUGUUUUUGCAAUAUCAAGUAAUUUAGUUAUCUAUAUAAUAUAUAAAUAGGAUCUAAUUAGACUAUAGAUAUUUAUUUGAGUUUCUAAUGAGAUAAUAUGUCUUUGUGUAAUUUAAAAGGGAGACUUGCAUCUUUGGACCUUAUCUAAUAAGUUUAAUUCUUAUUGAUUUGAGUAGAUCAAAGACAUUGGUCACAAAAGUACUUCCUUUUGCUUCCUACGUCUUAUAUUGUGACUCUUAUUUGUUUGUGAUUUUAGCCAAGCUAUUAGUACUAUACAUAAUAUAGGCUUUGAUCUAAAUUAAAAUCUAUAGUUUAUUGAUACUAAUAUUGGUUUAGAACUUUAUAAUAUUUUGAUGUUUUAUUUUUAAAUUCUAUAUAAUCUUUUGUCAUGGAUAUACAUAUUUAUUCUAAUAUUUACCAAUAUAAUUAAGUAGAAAUAGAUAAAAAUAGAUUUAUUUCAUAAUAUUUUUUAAAAAAGCUUCAUAGAUACUAUUUUUACUUUAAAUAUAUUUUUAGUUGAUUGAUAGGUUAGAAACUUAGUUAAUAAGUUAAUUACAUGUUAGUAGCUUACAAAACAAGCUAAUAAUAUGGCACACAUAUAAAACAAAAUUGUCUUGCAAGUUAAGAUAUGUAUCUUGCAAAGUCAAUAUGUUUUAGAGGUCCUAUAUGAUAUCAACACAUAGCUCCUAGUUAAGAAUAUAUAUGGAAGUAAGAGUGAAGUCUUUUUCACUCCUAUCAACGCCUUUCUAGUCCUUAGUCUUGUUUUAAGACUUUCUAAUCUUCUUGUCUUGGGCAAUAACCAUUCUAGUUUAAUACUAUAUCAUCUUCAAGUGAUUUUCUAAUCUUUUUAAAUGACACAAGAGUGUAUUGAGGUUUUCUUUCUUUGAGAUUCAUGUCCUUUACAUCUCCUCUAUAGAUCACUCACAUCCAUUCUUUAAUUUUUAUUCAUGAAUUUGAAAUUGAUAGGAGAUGGUGUUAUUAUUGAAUAAAUUUGAUGGUAAACACUUUUUAAGCACCAAACUUUGCCAUAAUGAGUCCAAAUUUCUAUUGUACCUCCAAAAUAUAAAAGAAUUAAAAAAAUGUAAAAAAAUCUAUAUAUUUUUAUACAUAUAUAGUUUAUUUCUAUAUAAAUUAUCUAUAUUAGAUUUUAAAAAUCAAAGAUAGAUGGUUGGAAUUAAAAAAUAAUACUAUAUAUUUAAUUAAGAAAUUUAUUGCAACAAGUAAGAAAAAUUUAAGUAGAAUUAGGAAAAAGGGUCUUUCUUGCUACCAAAAUCUUAUACCACAUAAUAAACUUUUAUUAGCUUUGAUGUUCUAUAAUAAUAUAGAAUUUUAAUCUUUAUUUCUAUUAUUUAUUUUUACAAGUGAUUUAAACAUUAAUGCUACUAUAGCUUUACUUAAGCUAAUAAGAUUGGUCUUGUCUUUAUUGAUGGAUUAACAAUAUUAUAACCAUCCAAUAUUGGUUAAAGUACGUUGCAUUGUCAUGUGGUAGCAUGGCUAUAUAGUAAAAAAUAAAAAUAUAGAUAUUAUUAUAAAAGAGCCUAAUAAAAAGAUGUAGUAGAAAAAUAAGGAUAAAUAAUAGAAAGAGAGUAAUAGAUUUAGUCUUAAUAUUACUUUUUGUAAAAGGAAUACUUCUAUUUACUUUGUAGAUGCAUAAAUAAGCCAAAUCAAAGUAAAUAAGAUAAGAAAUUGAUAUAGACAUGUUUAAGAAAGAGUUAAUAUAAGAUUAAAGUAAAACUUAAAUCACAUUACCAAAAAUUAAUGCCUACAAAGGACCAAAUAUUAAUUUGGAUCAAAAUCAAAUCUUGAUGUACAAAACUAUCUCUAUAUAAUGAAUUUAGGAUUUGUUUGUAGAUUAGAGAAUAAAAUACAAGAAAAAACUAGAGGAGAGAUUUUUUAGCAUUGGUUUCAUGUUAUUUGGAUCAAUAUUAAGAUUUUGAGGAAUUUUUAAAAUUCAUAAUAUUCUUAGUAGGUUUAGGUUUUAAAAAAAAUAAUUGUUUAUAAAUUUGAAGGUUUCUUGAGUUUUGUGGUGUAUAUAUGAGUGAAAUUUGGGAAAUAUAUUGGUGUGCUUGUUUUGAAUGAGUAUGCAAAUUUUGAGAUUGAUUGAAUAGUUAGAUUGAAGUAUAUGAGGGUUUUUAUAGGUUGAGGUCUCAAAAAUUGGAGUUUGAAGGUCAAUGAGUGUUUCUAAGAUCAUCAGCAAUUUUUUAAUUGGAUUGAAGUGAAUUUUUUUUGUAUAGACAGUAGACUCAAUUUCUAAGGUUUAGGUGGGAUUUAAGAAUAGUUUAAUAAUUCAAAAAGAAGAUAUUAGAGCUAGAAUUUUAGCAUUAAGGUUAAAAUAGGAGGCUACUCAACAUCCAAUUGGAUUAUCUUGCAUCUCUCUCAAUUGAUAAGUGCAAUCGAUUUCAUCUUUCUUAUGCUUUUUUUUAACUUAGACAUUAAGAAGUGUACAAAUUUUGAAUUGAUAUUAAUAUUUUGAUCAUUAAUUUUUGAGAUUUCAAUCAUCUAAAGGAUUUGUUAAGAAUUCGUUUAAGAUUUAGAAUUUAAUUAGGAUUUGCUUAGGAUUUGGUUAAGGAUUUGUUUAUGAUUUAGGAUUUAUUAAGAUUUUAUUAGGAUUUGAUCUAGGAUUUGGUUAAGGUUUAAUUAGGAUUUCAAUUAAGAUUUGAUUUAAGAUUAAUUUAGAUUUAUUAGAAUUUUAAUUAAGAUUAAAUUAGUAUUUUAUUAGGAUUCAUUUAUGAUUUAUGAUUUUUAUUAUUUCUUUAAGAUUCUAUAUUUUUUCUUCAAAAGUUUUAUUUCUAAUAUUUUUUUAAUAUAUAUAUAUAUAUAUAUAUAUAUAUAUAUAUAUAUAUAUACUUUAUUUUAAAGAUUAAUUUAGGACUUAUAUGUAUUUUUUUUUACAACUUCUUUUAAAUUUAUCUUAGAUUGGUUAAAAUUUGAUUAGAAUUAUUAAGAUUUACUUAAAGUUUAUUUGAAAUUCUAUUAAACUUGGUAGGAUUUUUGUUGCAUUUCUAUUUAUCUUCCAUAGUUAGGUGCUUGGUACAUUCUCAAGCAAGAAUACACAUAAUACAACAACGUAGUCUUAUCUGCAAUGUAAUUUUUAAAUGAUGCUUUAAUCUUUGUUUUUGUUUUUUUGUACCUUUUUAAAUUAACAUGAAAAAAUUUAUUAUUGAAAUAGGCAAUUUUUUUACAAUUUUAUCUUUAUUUGUAAUUUGAAUUGUCACAAAAUAUUAAUGAUUUAUUUAUUUUUUAUUUUAUUUUUAUUUUUUUAAUAGCUAUUAGAUUUAUUUUAAUUCAAGAUGAAUUUCAAUUCUAAGAAAAAUAUCUCAAGCGUGUAUAUGGUAUUUUAGAUCAUCUUUAUUUUCUUAAUAGGAUUAGAGAGGUAUCAUCCGCAUAUUAUACCAUGAUAUGUUGUCAAUUAGUCAUUGUUAAUUAAAUAGCACUGAUUUAACAAAGCUUUGCUUCUUUAUCAAUCAUGGCAUUGAAUACGUCAAGAAUGAUAAAGAAGAAAUAAGGUAUAAGUGGGCAUCAUUGUUAUAUCCAUCUUUUAAUUUUAAACAAAUUGGAGAGUGAACCAUUAAUUUUUACUCAAACACUUGUAUUAAUAAAUAAUAAACAGAUCAUGUAGAUAGAUUCUAUAGAAAAGCCUAUGAUAGACAUUAUUUGAAGCAAAAGAUCUCAAUCUAUCAUUUUAUAUGCCUUCAAGAAGUCAAGCUUAAGAAAGAAUAGAAGUUAUCUUAACUUUUCUAUUUACACCAUAGUUUCAUGUAUUAGUAAGAAGUUGUUUAGUAUGAACUACAUGGAUAAAAAAACUAACUAGUAUCUACUAUUUUUUUUUCAUAAGUAUGGGCUGUAAGCAUAAUUAUAAAGCUUUUGCAUAUAUUUUGUAUCGAAUAUUGAAGAAAAUAAUUGACUUCUAGUUUGUAAAAUUGCAUUGGAUUUGUCUCUUGUGUGACAAUGAUAUCAUCUCUUGCAUGACAUUAAGUAAUAGAUGGUCAUAAUUUAUGUUCUCUUCUAACAUAACAAAAUAAUAUAAUCGAAUUAUAUUUUAUUAAUUUUUAUAAAUCUUAAAAAUGAUGCCAUAUGAUUCUAGUAAUUUGUCCACAUACAUGUCCUUCAAGGCUACCAUAAAUAUUGCCAAUGUAAAGAAGGUAUGGAAUAUUUCUUUUUUAGCAAUAUCUAACUAAUAAAAAAUGUAGCUAAUUGCUUAGUUUCUUGCACCUUUUGUUGUAAUAGUAGUUGAUUAGAUUGAAUACAAUUGGCUAUAAAAACUUUGAUAGAUAUAAGUAAGAGUGGCUUUGCUAUUAUAGAUCUAGUCAUGCUUGUCAACUAACUUGGUAAUAUUCAAUACUAUAGACUUUUUCUUAUGUACUUGAAAAAUAUUUUUUUGUGCAAAAAUCAUUCAAUUUUUGUUAUUUUAGGCAAGACCAAGUAUUUUAUUUUUUAUUUUUUAUUUUUUUAUUUUAGACAAGAUCAAAUAUUUUAUUCUUUUAUUUUCUAUUUUUUUAUGUUAUUACAAUUGGUUGGUACAAUUGGCCAUCACAAUUUAGCACAUUGCAUUUUUUAGGUCUUAUUGUAAGAUAGUCAUUGUUGUAGCAAGUUGUAGCCAUAAAGAGGCAUCUUCAUGUUGUCAUUUGACCACCUUGUCUAUUUAGUAUAUUUUAUAAAACUUCAAGUAUCAUCAAAGUUUACUAUAAAUAGAUAAAGAUAGAUUUAAAGUCUAUAAGCUUCAAAUCUUAAUUUAAACUAUUUUAUUUGAGAGAUAAUAAAUAUUCAUUAUAUAUGGAAAUAUUUACUUGGCCUUAGGUUGAAACCAUAUAUGUUACCAAACAAAGAAAUAAUUUGAGUGUAGACUAUCGCCUAAUAAUAAGUAAUCAAUACUUGUAGUUACCAAUCUUGGUGAUAUAAAUGGAUAUACACAAUUGAAUCUAGCCAUUGUGUAUGUAUUAUUACUCUAUUAGCUAUUUCAACUAUACUUAGGUCCAUUUAAUAGGAACUUAUUUUUCAAUCUAGAAUAAUAUUGUAAGAAAAGUAAAUAAUCCAUGUUUAUUUUUUAAUAUGAUAGAAUCAUUAAUAUUUGAUUCUUCAGUUAGACUUUUUAUAUAAUAUAAGUCUCUUAUGAAAAUCUAUUAAAAAUCUACUAAAAAUGUGAUUAAUAUUUUUUUCUAUAGUACACAUCAUUUCAUUGUUUAGUAUAGAAUAUAUAUAUUAAGAAUAGCUAUGUUUGCUCUUUGCACCUCAUGUACUUGCUUCUACUAUGUUUGAUCAGUAUUAGAGUGGUUUGAUUGUUCUAUGAGAUGCAAAAUAUAAAAAAAAAAAUCAUAAAUAAAUACUUCUAUUGCUCGCUCCUAUCUUAUGUAUCUUAUUAUUAUAGGCAACAUCUUCUUCUUAAUUAAAGAAACCAGCUUUGAGUUUCAUUUAUUUUUUAAUACUAACAACUUUAUAUCAUAGAGAUUAUGUUUUUGUAUACAAAUAAAAUCUAACUUAGAUAUAUAGGCAUGAAGGUAAUUACAAAAUAUAUCUAUUUUAAUAAAAUCAUUAAGAUUUUUGCUCAUUUUGUAUUGUCACAAAGAUUUUCAUUCAAUAAAAGAAAGAAAAAGAAGAGAUUAAACUUCAUAUUUUAUGUUCAUGAUUCAAUGCACAAAGUCUGCUGAUUUUUCUCUUUGUUGGAAGUAAUAGAAAGAUCUUUAAUGUUGUGAUAAUUUUAUAUAUUGGUUUUUUUUAGCCAUUGUCUUAUUUGAAAAAAGAGUCAGUAUAAGUGAUUUUAACAAGUCAAUUGAUAUUCUUUGCUUCUGUAGCCAUUCAAUAAAAUAUAUAUAUAUAUAUAUAUAUAUAUAUAUAUAUAUGCAAUAAGUUCUCAAUUUGUUCUUUAUGACAGUCAUACUACAUUCUCAAGUGACUAAAAUAUACUCUUUGAUCUAAUAUCAGUUGCAACAAAUUACACUAGAUGUAGAAUUUCUAACAUAUCAAGGUAGCUUUUAUUAUAUACACUCACAAAAAAAGACUAAAAUAUGUGACUUAAUAUAGAUAGAUUAAGUUGGAAGCCAUGGCUAGAGAUGUAUAUAUUAAGGUUUAAAAGGACUAAUUUGUAUCUUUGCUCCCACAAGAUUCUUUAAUCUAAGCUUGAUCUAUGUCAAAUCGAUGUGUAUCAAAAAAGCACAAUGAUCAUUAACAUAUCAUCUUGAGUUCUUGAAUAGUGUCAAAUAAAUAUGGCAAAGGAAGGAGGCUUCAUUUCUUAAUACAUUUGAUAUCAAUGAACUAUUUAUUAAUUAUUCAAUGACAAGUGAGAUCUUUGAAAAUUGUUAAGACUAACUUUUUUACUUCUAAAUAAUAAAAAAAUAAUCAUGAUUAGCUGGUUUAAUCUCCCUCUUCUUCUUAUUUGGAUUAUUAUAAUAUUUUUAAGGCAAUAGUAGAUAUAUUAGUAUGUACUUAGCUAUUCCACUUAUUAUAACUUUUAUUAGAUUUAUUAAGAUCUAAAAAAAUUUUAUAUUAAGUAAUAAUUCAUAUCCUUAUUCUCUUUAUCUUGUCUGCCAUAUUGCCUAGUUUGGAUUUGAUUAUUAUAAGAUUUACUAUGUUGUUCUAAUUAAUUUUUUUUAUUAGGUUGGCAAAGUCCUCAUUUUUUUGUCAAUUGGCCAGAACUAGCAUUAAAACCAAUCAACAAUGUCUAUAAUAGUGGCACUUCUAUUCCUUAAAGAGGUGGUAUAAAAUUUUUUUUGGACACGAGUGGAAUUAUUUGGUUAAUAUGUGUUUGUAGUGUUUGCCAAUAUUGAGAUGUCACUUAAUCUGUUGCCAAAUAGACUUGCAACUAUACUUCUUAUAUAUCUAUUUAUUAUUAUUUUAAUAAUAAUAAGUAUUUUCUAAUAAAAUAAGAUAUAAAGAGACGUGAACUACAUCAUAUUGAGAGAUUAUUGUAAUUAACUUAUAUGUGCAUCAUAUUGCCAUUCACUAAAUUGACUACAUUAAUUGCAAGGUUGUAUGAAAUAUUGGUUAUUAGCGUGAUGCAAAACUUUUGAUUUGUGCCAUAUUUGUUGCUCUAAUCUCUUUCUAAGAUAGCUUUAAGACUUAAAGUACUAUUUCUUAUAUUAUUCUUACAAUUGUGAGAGAAGGCUUUUAGUAUCAUCUAAAUUGGCAUCUUCAUUCUAAUAAGUUGACUAGAUUUAAAUCUUGACUUCUAUAGUUGAAGAAUGCAUGUUAUUUAUCAACUAAUAUGUAAAAUUUGUAUCAUUAUUCUUUAUAAUGCAACCUUGUUCUUACAAACUAUACUAAAAAAUCUAUGACUUAAAUUUUUUUUAAGAUAUUAUUCUUCUUUAAUCUAUGUUUUUAAAAAACUUAAAAAUUUAUGCAUUAUUUUUAUAAAUAAUCUACUAUCAAUAAAAUAGAUUAUUAUUAUAUAUUUUUAUAAAUAUUCUAUCUUCUAUUUAAAUUCUUUUUAUAUAAUCUAAUAUCUAAUACUUAUAUAUUUAAAGUAAAUAAAUAUAAAUACUUAUUAAAUCUUUUAAAAAAUAUUUAUUUGAGAUAAUAUAUAUAAAGAUGAUAUCUAUGAAGUUACCAAGGUUGGAUGUGAGUACCACUAGCUCUAGUUCUAUUGUAUUAUAGUAUUUUACUUGUAUCUUUUAUCUAAAGAAGUAGGAACUAUGGAAUGUAGGUGUCAAGGACACAAAAUUUAAAGAAAAAAAUCCUCAAUAUACUCUUGUGUCAUUCAAAAGAACUAAAAAGUCACUCAAAGAUGGUAAAAUAUUAAAUUAAAAUGGCUAUUGUCAAAAACAAGAAAACCAAAAAGUCUUGAAACAAGACUAAAGACUAGAAAGGCAUUGAUAAGAGUGAAGAAGGCUUUAUUUUUGCCUUUAUAUAUAUUCUUAACCUAGAAACUAUUUGGCAAUAUCUUAAAAAACGUCCAAAACAUGUUGACUUCCAUAAAAUAUAUAUCUUAAUUUGUAAGACAAGUUUUCUAUAUUUACACCACAUAGUUAGCUUGUUUUGUAAGCUAUCAACAUGUGAUUAACUUAUUAGCUAAGUUUAUAUCUUAUCAAUCAAUUAAAAAUAUAUAUAAAAUCAAAUCAAUAUCUAUGAAGCUUUUAAGAAGCUUUUCUAAAAAAUAUUAUGAAAUAAAUCCGUUUUUUACUUAUUUCUACUUAAUCAUAUAGAUAAAUAUUAUAAUAAAUAUGUAUAUCCAUAACAUUACCUCCCUUUCUAAUGACAAGUUGGACAUGUAGUCAUUGUAUAUUGAAGAAACCCAAGUUAUGGCAAAUCAUAUUUGUCACAUACUUUGAUCUUUGUUCUCUUUGUUCUCUUUGAAGAUGUUUGAUAGGUCCUUUCAGGCAUUGAUAGUGUACCAUAUCAAGAUAGAAAGGCCACCUUGUUAUUUGAUCAUUCUUGAAGCCUUUAUAACUCCUUUCAAAUAAAAUAUUUGGAACAUUGUCAAAAGUUGUUUCAAGCUCUAAUAAAAUCACCAAACAUUGGAAGUGUCUUUCAAGGUCACUAUAUCUAACCAUUUAUUCAAGAAAAGAUGUAUUAUUCUUCAGGAUCUUCAUCUCAAUUACAUCAUCUUAAAAGUUGUGACAAUCGCAAUGUUUCAUUUGAUAAGUCAAUAAGUGAUAGCUUUUGAGUUGAAUCUACUGAUCAUUAGUUCUUCAUCUCUUUAGUAUCAUAAAUACAAAAAAGUAUCAAACAAGAGUGGAAGGUAAAAUGCUAUCUUUUCUGGAUUUUAUUUCUUUAUAGCAAAGAUUUGUUAUUCUUCAUCUUGAUUUUGAUGGAAAUUGACAAUGAAAAAUUUCAACUUUCUUUAUUAUAUUUAUAAAAUUCUUUGCUAGCUUCCAUAUGCAUUUAUUAAUAUCAUAUCUGCGCUAAUAAAUAAGAUAUUCUAACACAUUUUGGCACUGUUAAAUUAUGUGAAGAUUUGCUCAAGAUUGUACUAAGCAUCUAAAUAUGGAAGGUAGAAUGGAAAUUACAACAAUAAAAUCCUAACUCUAAUAGAAUAUUAAAUAAAUUCUAAUUAAACCUUAAAAAUUCUAAGCAAGCUUUAAUCAUAUUCAAAAGAAACCUUAAAGAAAUUACAAAAGAAAUUAUAAAAAAUCUUAAAAGAAUUCAAAAAAAACUAUAAUAAAUCUUCAAAGAAUUCCUAAGAAAUUUUAAAGAAAUAUCAAAAUAUUAAAAAAUGCAUCUAAAAUAAAUCUCAACCAAAUCUUAAUUUAAUCUUAGUUAAAAUUCUAAUCGACUUCAAUCAAAUUCAAGGCCAAACCCUAAACUCUAAACUCUAAAACUUAAAUAAAUCUUAAAUCCUAAAUCUUAAGGAAAUAUCAAAUCUUAAAUAAAUCUUUAAUCAAAUCCUAAAUUCUAAUUCAAUCCUAAACUAUAAUCAAAUCUUAAUCAAAUCCUAAGCAAAUCCUAAAUCUUAAAUUUUAAAUCUUAAAUCCUACGCAAAUUCUAAGCAAAUCCUAAAUCCUAAAUCCUAAGCAAAUUCUAAUUCAAACCCUAAAUCUUAGUCCAAUCUAAAAUCUUAAUUAAACCUUAAAUAAAUCAUAAAUCCUAAUCUAAUCUUAAUCCUAAAUCAAACCUUAACCAAAAUCUAACCAACUCCAUCUAAUCUUGGCAUAAUUUAAAACCUCAAUAUCUAUCAAUUAAACUAUUGAUCUUCUUUAAAAUAUUCUAUACUUUUCAAAAAUUAAAUUAACAAAAAGCAUACAAAAUUUGAAGAUAAUUAUAUUUAUCAAAUAGAAGGAAAAUUCUAAAAUUUGCUUGAAUAUUGGCCUCCUACUUCAAUCUAAAUGUUGAACUUCAAGCACCAAUAUCUAUUUUUCAAACCAAUCAAUUAUUCUCAAAUCUCACAUAUGUGUAGCAAAUCAAGUCUAUUAUCUUUAUGCACAAAUUUCACUUUAAUUCAACUAGUAGAAUGCUAAAGAUCUUAGAAAUCCUACCUGUCCCUCAAAGUCCAAUUUCCAAGACCUCAACCUAUUUGAAAUUCAAUAAUCUUCAAUCCAACCAUUCGAUCAAGAUCAAACUUACAACAUAUAUUUUAGACAACUAUUUUAGAUAACUAUUUAUAUAAGUCCUCAAAAUCUAAAGCAUAGAUAUACCAUCAAAUUAACAAAAUUUUCCAAAAUAUAAUACCAUUUUUAUUUUACAUAUUCCAAAAUCAUCCAAAAUAAUUAUAACUUUGCAAAGCUUUUACAAAGUCAUUACAUACUCAAAUCACUCAAAAUUAGUACUUAAAGAAACCAUAUCAAGUCUGCUCAUAAAUCUUAUUCUUUCAUCUACCAAAGAAGCGUGGAGUUCUUAUAGGUGUUUAGUUUUGUACCUCAAGGUCUGAUUUUAAUCUAGAUUGAUAACCAGUCCUCUCCAAGUAUCAAAUUUUGUCUUUUUGAAUUAAUUUUUAUUCAAAUCAUCUUCUAACUUCUUAUAUAUAUUUAUAUUCUUUAUUUUUUUAAUUACCUUAUUUUGUAUUAUUUAUGGUCUUACAAAGUAAGUAGAAGCCUAUUUUAUAAAAAAGUAGUAUUUAUACUUUUAAUUUUACUUUCUUUUAGACUAUUAUAUAUUUUUUAAAAUAAUUUGCUAUAAUAUUUGAAGUAAGAUCUUCUAUAAUAUAAAAAUUUCUUCACCCUUUUCACCUAUUAGUCAUGUUACAGCAUGACAAUGCCACCUUAGUUCUAAAACUUCUUCUACUUUAAAUUCUUCAUUAUUAUCCACUUUUAUAGAGAGAGGUGGUAUUUUUCUUCUUCUUAAGAUAUUUAUUGUCUUAUGUGACUUAAGUAGAGUCAAAUAGAAUAUAAAAUAGAUCUUCAUAGAUUCUAGUAGAUGUAAUCAAUAAGCAAUAGGAUUGAUUUGUUCACUAAUAGGAAAAGGUCCAAGCCUACAAUAGAUAAUUUAUCACAAAGACAAGUAGUCUUGAUAUUUCUACAAAAUAGCCAUACCUUAUUAUCUACAUUAAAUUGUGGUUGUUCUUUACAAUACGCAUUUGCAUUGAUCUUUUUUUGUUCUUGAGCUUCUUUUAAUUGCGUCUUCACAAUUGCAUGUAGUUUCCAUAAACAACUUCUCAAAUCUUUUACUAUAAGAUAUCAAUUUUUAAAAAGUCAAAAGUAUCAAGUCAUGAAUCAUAAUCAUAAUUGAUAAAGAAAGAUGUUUGUUAAGUAGAAGAAUGUACCAAAUUAUUGUACGUAAACUUUACUAAUAGCAAAAGAGUUGUCCAAUCAUCUUGAGGAUAAUUAAUGAUACACCUCAAAUACCACUCCAAAACUUGAUUUAGCCAUUCUGUUUGUCCACGAGUUUGAAGAUAAAAAGCCAAAGAGAGUUCUAUAUCCACUUUUAAUAUUUUAAAAAGGGUUCUCUAAAAUCUUGAUAUAAAUUAAGUUUUCUUAUUUGAUAUAAUAUCUUUGAGUAAUCCAUGAUAAGAAUACAUGUGGUUAAAAAAAAACUUAGUCAUUUUUUCACCUGUGAUAGAUUUUGUACGUAGUGCAAAAUGUGCCAUCUUGGUAAAAAAAUAUACUAUCACAAAAUAUAGAAUCAUACAAACCUGAGAUUAAAAGAUUCAUGAUAAAAUCCAUAGAAAUAAAAAACCAUGGUUUUUUUAGAAUAGGUAAUAGUUGAAAAAAUUCAUAAUGUCGAUGAUGAAGAGUCUUAGAUCUUGAAAAAAUAUCAUAUGAUUGUAUAAAAACUUUGAUUGCCUUCUACAUUUGAGGCCACCAAAAAUCUCUAGAUAUUAGUUCAAAAAUCUUGUUGUAUUCAAAAUGUUCGAUUAUUAAGAAGUUAAGAUAAGUUUGAAGAAUACGUAAUUAUAUUUUGCCUUUUGAAAUAUAUAAUUUUCCUUUAAAGUAAAAUAAAUUAUUCUUAAAUUUGAACUUAAAAAUAUCAUGAGACUUAAAAGAAUUAUUUUUAAUAUCAUGAAGAAGGAAAUCAAAAGACAUACUUGAUUGAAUUUACUUGACAAAGAUUGAAUCAAUAGUCAAUGUUGAUUUUAUUGCUCAAAGAUGAAAAUACUUUGACUUAAAGAAAAUUGUUCUUUGUUUAUCAAAAGCUGCAUCUCCUUCUUUUGGUGCAAAAUAAAGAUGCUUAGAAAGAGCAAUGUGAUAAAUCUUAUCUAAAUCUACAAGUAAUCUUAAGAUCAAAUCUUGAUAAAAACAUACUCUAAUGGGCUUGGUAAUAAUUCAAAACAUGUGCCAAUAUGAACAACUAAAGAUUCUUGUGAUCGGUAUAUAUAAUAAUUCGACUAAAAGCGCCUUUUAGAUAAUGAUGUCAGUUUUCAAAUGAAUCAACAAUUGCAAAACCUCUUUAUUGUGGAUUUUGUAGUUAAUCUCAACUACUAAAAAUUUCCUAGAAUGAAAAGCAAUUGAAUAGAGUUUAUCACCUUCUUCCAUUUGUGAUAAAAUAUGAUCCAUAGUAAAAUCUAAUGCAUCUAUUUCCAUGAAGAACGUCUUAAAAAAAUUGACACAAUACAAAAUUGAUGCAAAAAUAAAUAUUACCUUUAAGGCUUCAAAAGAUGUUUUUUAUUUUUUUGUUCCACUAAAAGUUUGUCUUUAUAUAUUAGAUGUAUAAGAGGAGCCUCAACUUGAGAAAAAUUGUUGAAAAAUAUUUUAUAAUAAUUAAUAAUUCUAAAAAAAUAUUACAUAUCUUUGACUAUUUUUGUAACCUUUCAAUCCAUGAUAGUCUUGACCUUCUUAAGAUCCAUCAUUAAUCCUUUGUUGGAAAUAAUGUAUCUUAGAAAAUCAACUUGAGUAGUAUAAAACACACACUUUUUUAUCUUUGUAUAUAAUCCUACAUCUCUAAGUUUUUGUAAAAUACAAUGAACUUGAAGUUUACAUUCUUUUAUAUUCUUAAAAUAGAUUAGAAUGUUGGCUUAAUAAUGAAUAAUAAUAUUAUUAAAAAAUUCACAAAAGAUAUCAUUCAUGAGAUAUUAAAAAGUAGGUGGUGGAUUUAUGAGUCCAAAAGGUAUGAUAUUAUAUUCAAAAUAUCUAUAUUUAGUUUUAAAAGAAAUCUUCCACUCAUCUUUUUUUUUAAUAUAGACUACAUUGUAUGUUCUUUAUAGAUCUAUUUUUAUAUAGAUCUUUGCUUGAUUGAGUUAGACAAAAAGUCUUGAAAUCAAAGAUAAAAAAUACUUAUUUUUGAUAGUGAUCUUGUUAAGUUCAUGAUAGUCUAUGCUUAUUUACAGAGAUCUAUCUUUUUUCUUUACAAAUAAGAUAAGAGCUCUUGUUAGAAAUUUCGAAUAGCUUAUGAAGUAUUUAGCUAAUUUUUUAUUAAUGAAUUAUUUUACUAGAACUAAUUCAUUUUACAAUAAGCUAUAGAUUGCUUUGAAUGAUGGUUGAACUCCUUCUUAUAGAUCAAUUAUACAAUCAUAGAUUCAAUGCUCUAGAAGAAUAUCUAUCUAUAUAUAUAUAUAUAUAUAUAUAUUUUUUUUUUCAUUGUCUAAAUAUUGAUAUUAUCUAGAAAUAUCAUUUGACAUCUUUUUACUAUCAAAAAUGGAUGUAACAAAUAUAAUAAAAGAUGGCCUUUUAUUUGCCUCAUGCAUAAAAGCUCUUGCACUUAUUAUUAAGGGUUUGGAUGAACUAGACUUAUUUAUUUCUACUUCACUACUAGAAUUUUAAAUUAAACUAUAAAGAAAGUUGAAGUUACAAUAAAUCCAAUCUAUUUGAAGAUUUUAUUUUUCUAAAUACAAUAAUUCUAAAAUAACUAGAUUGGAGGAAGAUCAAAUCAUAUUAAAUAUUACUACCCUAUUAUGAUCUUUAAUUGCUACAUCUAAAGGAGCAGUCUCAUGAGUAACUUCUCGAAAAGACAACAAACAACCAUAUAUGACUUCGACAUGCACAAAUUUGAUUUCCUUGACAGAAGAUAAUUCUUAUUUUUUGACAAAGUUUUCAUCCGUAAAAGAGGAAAAGAGGUUAAGGUUCUUAAAUAUAAUGAUAUAAAAGCAUUGUGAUUUUAGGCUCCUACACAAACAACUAUUUUUUCGUUGUGGUUGCUAACAGUUCUAGAGAACGGAACCGCAUUGGGUAGUCGAUCAGCCUCUCCUCCACAGACAUAUUACGUGAGGUGACAUAUCUAUUCUGGAAUCAUCAGAAGGAGAUGCCUCAAAUUGACCCCGUCCGUGCAUACACCUUUGGGUCACAUUACUUUGCAGAAGUCGAUAUUGUGCUGGCAGCGGACAUGCCUCUGCGCCAGGCACAUGAUAUUGGCGAAUCACUUCAAGACAAACUUGAGUCGCUACCGGAGAUUGAACGAGCUUUUGUUCACCUCGAUUACGAGGUUACUCAUCGACCGGAGCAUGCCUACAGAGAUAAGUGACGAUGCACUAGGCGCACCAAUCCUGGCUUCGAGUCAGCCUUGCCAAGCAAACAACUCCACCCAACUGAUUGCCCCCCUCCCUCUGAAUGAUCUGAACUUCUUAGACUUCAUAACAAAAAGGACUAUCACUGUAAAUACCUGCUGCCCUCUCAAAACAAGAGAUAGGUCCCACAACACGCAGUUUUCAAACCAACUACCUUAAUAAAUGGUUGUGAAUCCAACACAAGCAAAGGAAAGGCAUACCAAAUGCCAUGAUCAAACGCAUCCGAGAAGUACCACAAGGGCUUCGAAAUCAGAUGGAAAACCUAGCGGCAGAAAACAAAUCAGGUUCGAUGUAACGACCAGCAUGUGAUUGAACAUGUCCACUUAAUACGAUUGAUGUAACCAAAUGCUCCAUAAACAGUCAAUAAACUUGGUUAGACGGACACGCUAGUUGCAUAUCCUCGAAUUGCCCGCGGAUGAUGAUGUGCGCUGUGUGCAUCACUUGUGAUGUCGGAGGAAGGAGUGAGCGACUGCGGGAGGUGUUGGGGGCAACGGAGCGGUGUGGUUGAGCGGGUCACCUCAUGUGGAACGGGGUGUUGUCAACAGAGAGGAAGGUCACCUUUUGGAUAGAGCUGUUUGAAUGUGUGCACAGUUGUUGACAUGACCGGAGAGCGGAGUUGAGAAUGCGUGGGGUGAUUGGAGUGAACGUUUGGGGGCUCGUGGAAGGAGCGUGGUCCAUCCCAACCAUGGUGGAGCGCAGCGGCGGCAAAUGCAGAAACGGCUCCGAGGAAAAGAAGGUGAUGGUGAGACCUGGACAGUGGGCGCAUCUGGGAGUGGGAUUACAGCCAGGAUGGAGCCAAAUACAUGGAUUCCGUCAAGGCAGCCAGGGGUGGCGCGGAGGGAACGAGGGACAAAAGCAGUCCCAGGACCGAAAGCCGGGACAGAAUCCGGUGGAAAGGGAGCGCUGGGGGAAGGGGGCAAGGGAUUUGCGACGGCGCAUGGGCCACUCAGCGGGGUCAGAGGGGGCGGCGGUGAGUGGUGCCUGGGGCGGGAUUGGGUUGAUAUUGAGAACCGGAUGAGAGACGUGCAUCGCCGUGGGAUCCGUGGCGCAAUGGUAGCGCGUCUGACUCCAGAUCAGAAGGUUGCGUGUUCGAUUCACGUCGGGUUCAAACUCCCGAAGGAAAUGGUGACUACCCUGCGGCCUCCCUAGUUCGCUUCGCCCCCGGCCCACCCUGAGCGGGGGGGUCUGAUUGUGGUCGGUCGAGGGGCGCUGACCGUGUGGCCCAAUGGAUAAGGCGCUUGCCUACGGAGCAAGAGAUUCUGGGUUCGAUCCCCAGCAUGGUCGUGGGUCGCCGGAAUUGUAGAUUGUGGCGCGUGUCAAUUUGGCCGAGUGGUUAAGGCGGCAGACUCGAAAUCUGCUGGGGUUUCCCCGCGCAGGUUCAAAUCCUGCAGUUGACGACUCCGCCGCUGCCCAUUGUUUCUCCUCCCCUUCCGCACUCUCGUUUUCGUGCCCCGCGCCCCCCUUCUCGAUUUUCCCUUCUCUUGAAUUACCCCAUUCUCCAGUUCUUUCGAUGCGAACCUCCUUCGGCUCAUUCCAUUUCCAUGCAGCAAAUGCCAUUUCAAUGAUUAAGCACUCCUUUCCAACACAUAACCUUCUCACAUUUCAUCCAAUAUGCACAACUCUUCUCUAACCAUCUUCAUUCCAAUUUACAAGCUGAGAGUGAUUUAUUUAAUUCCAAUUUACAAGCUUCUCUAACCAUCUUCAUUCCAAUUUACAAGCUGAGAGUGAUUUAUUUAAUUCCAAUUUACAAGCUGAGAGUGAUUUAUUUAAUUCCAAUUUACAAGCUGAGAGUGAUUUAUUUAAUUCCAAUUUACAAGCUGAGUGAUUUGUAUAGUUCCUAGUGUUAAAUACUCUUGACAAACUUUUAAUGACAAUUUCUAGUAUUGGCCCCCUCCUCUCUUAUGUUGGCACUACACUCUUUGUAAUAGAAAUUAUUAACAUAGUAGAUAAUCCGUAUCAUGCAAGAAAAUAAUAAAAAAAAAAAGAAACAAGGUUGCAAGAGCUUGAAUAAGAAGUCACAAAGUUUGCUUUUGUGAUUCUUAAAAUGAUAUCUUGUAUAUCAAGGAUGGUUGGAUGUCAUGAAGAAAGUUGGAAGUUUUGUGUUGUUCAUUAAGUUUAAUUCUGAUGGUUAAUUAAGUAGAUGGAAUUAAGAUAAAAAACCUAACAUAUUACACUUAGAAGAAAUACAAAUAGAUUUUCACUAUUGAAAGUUUUUGAAUGUGACCUUUGUAAACAAACCUAAUAUAUGAAUGAAUCACAAAUUAUUUAUUCAUUUUGGAUGAUCAUGAAUAUAUUAAUUUGUUAGGUUUUUUUAACUACUUAAGUAUCAUUUAGGAUUUAGAAGAUUUUAGGAGACAAAAUAUUCUUAUUAAGUUAAAAACUAAUAAAAUAGAAUCUUAGUAUGUCUUGAAGGCAAUUAUCUUAGUUAUUUUAGUACUUUUGUUUUUUCUUAUUUGUAGUAUUUUUAUUUUUUCUUAUUUUUAGUAAUAUGUAUUUAAAUAUGAGACUAAUGUUUAAAAAUAUCUUUUGUUUCUUAUAGUUUUUUAUAAACUUAUAAAUGAUACACAUUAGGAAUAUAAAUUUUAUUGAAGAAUCUUAUUUUUAAGUGAUUAUGUAGAUUCUAUAAUUAUUAGUUGAUUUAUAUUAGUUUUAUUAUUCUAAAAUAUUUUUAGAUAUGAUAAAGUAUCUUUAAUUUAAUAUUAACAUUAUAAUAUCAUAAAAAGAUUCCAAAGCAAUUAUUUCACAUUAAUUCGAUGUUUUCUAAAUAUUUUAAAAAUCUAUUUUAAAGAUUUUAGUAAAAAUAGUUUUACCAAUUUUAGAAGCUAUUAUAGAAAGUUGGAAGAAGAUUAAAAGGCAUCUUAUGGAUUCUAGACUAUUUAGGUUUUUUUUUAAACAUUAUAGACAUGUCAAAUUUCAUAAAAUAAAUUUUAUUAAAAAAGACAAGAAUUAUAAAUAGCUAUAAUAGUAGUUGUAGUAGUAGGAUGUUAUGUGUAUACAUUCUAUAUAGAUUGUAGUAUAUUAGAGAUUAUUUGGAAGAUAAAAGUAAAGACUUUUAGGUAUUUAUUUGAUAAACUUCUCCCAGAUCAAAGUAUAAGAAGUGGAAAUAAAAUUAUGUUUUUAUUUUAUGAAGCAAUAAAAAGCUAUUAUUAGCAAUAAUGAUAUCAUCCACAUAUACGAUGAGAAUGAUAAACUUUGAUCUAUAAUGAAUAUAAUAUAUGCUACCAUCAGUUGUUAAAUUUAUAAAUUCAAGAGUAUCGAGAAAUGUAUUGAUUAUCUUGAACUAUUCCUUGGGUGAUUGUUUCAAUUCAUAAAUGGUUUUGUGAAGGUGUCACACCAUAUGAAGUUAUAAAAAAAUGACUUUAUUUAAGAUCUUUACAUAUAUAUAUAUAUAUAUUUCUUCUUGAAAAGAUCUAUUUAAGAGUGUUAUUUUAAUGUUCAUUUGAUGUACAUAGAAAUCAAGUUGAACUGCUAAAGCAAACAUGAGUCAAAUUGAUUGUAUGCAAAUGACUAUUGAAAAAGGUUUUAUUGUAGCCUAAGCCUAGAAGUUGGUUGAAUUUAUUUGCCACAAGGUGUGCUUUGAAGCGAUCCACUACUCCAAAAAAAUUGAGCUUAAUUUUAAAUAUUUAUUCACAAGAGUAAAAAAAGACUUUACUUUUUUUUCCAUAUAUAAAAUAUACUUAGGAACUAUAUGAUAACAUUCUUUAAGACCUUCAACAAUUUUUUAUCUUGUAAGUCACAUGUUUAAUUUGCAUAAUAAGUUUCAUAUAUGAGUGCUACAUGACCAACUUAUUCUUCAAGUUGUUAAUAUGUGUAAUAUGCAGAAAACUUGUUGAUCAAAUUUUAAACUAUGAAUACAUAAAGAAUUAUAUCUGUACACAUAAAGUUUCUAAGAAGCUUUUUUAUAUGAUAUUAUCAAAUCUACCUACAUUUAAUUUUUAUCUAACAUUUAUUAUUUAGUUAGUUAUGUAUAUUUGUGACAUUAGCUUUCUUCUAAAAGAUAGAUGGAAAUAUAAAACAAUAAAUAGAACAUGGUCUUAGUCAAAAUGGGUAUUAAAAUCUCUUCAAUUAUUUACCACAUUUAGAGUCUAGAAUUUACAAAUCAUGUAACAACGUAUAGAUAUGUCAUUUGUAUAGUUAGUUAAAACCAUGGAAGUUUCUAGAAUUGGACUUAGGUUAGUGGACCAAAUAGGAUCGUCUGUAGAACAUUCUAGAAAAAUUUAAGGUGAUUAUUUAGAUGAGGCCCACCAUAGAGUUUUUUAGAAAAUGCUUAGGACAGUUAUUUAGAUAGGACCUACGAUAGAAUUUUCUAAAAAAAGAAUUUAAAGAAGUUAUAUAGAUAGAAUAUAUUUCUUAGGAAUAUUUUAGAAAGUCUAGGGUAGUAAGACAAGGUAUAAAUAGGACUUACUAAGGCUUUUUGAGAUAUCUAGUGAGAUAUGGCUUUAGAUCCUUUCAUUUAGUAAAGUUUGGUUUUGCAUCUUUUUGUUCACUUUUGUUAUGUUUUGUUUUCGUCUUCUAAGUUAUCUUUCAUGUACUAUUUUGUAUAGUUUCAUUCAAUUUUUUUUUAUUCUAUUUUAUCUUAAUUUGUGAUGAGAUAUUAUAUUGUUGUCAAAUAGAAGGAUCAUGGAUUUUUGAGAUGGUCUCGUCUUGUUUCAUUAAUAUUUGAGUAAAUAUUAGAAUAUUUAUUUUUAGUAGUAUAUGAAUAAUCAUUAUAUAGUUCAAGGUCAAUUGUUGUCAUCACGUUGGAUAUUGUGUUGAGGCUAUUAUGAGCUACUCUUCAAAAGUCAAUUAGGAGGUGAAAAGAUAUUAUAAUAAUACAUUUCAAUAGAAAAAUUAUAGUAUGGAAAAUAUGGCAGAGCAAUCCCUGAUGGAGGCUCAAAUACAAUACUUCCUUGGCCAAAUAGCUACUUUGCAAGGGCAAAUAGAAGCCUUGAGGACAAGAGAGUCGACAUUAGCUAGGUUAAAAUUGAAUAAACUUAGUACGUACUCUGAGACUUGAAGACAAGAAGAUAUAUGUCAAUGGCUCUUUAAUAUAUGACAAUACCUCCAACUAUUUGAGGCAAAUACCAUUGAACGAAUUAUAUAUGCAGCUAGCUAUUUGAGGGAUGUGGCAGCCAUUUGGUGGUGACAUUGAGUUCAAAGCUAUAGAAGUCAAGGUGGAUUUUCAAACUGGGAGGAGUUUGAGAUCGAAUUCAGGAAUCAAUUUUGGCUCUUUAAUAUAGAGAAGAUAUCAUGAGAUCAAUUGGUAAAUCUUACAGAAGCUAGGUCAGUGUAAGUUUAUGUCUUUCGAUUCAAGUCCCUAUAUCUCUAAAUUGAUAAUAUUUUAAACACGGAAAUGAUAGAUUGAUUCCUACAAGGUUUGAAACUUGAGGUCCAAUGAGAGGUGGAGCUUAGGAAUGAGCAAACGUAUGAAGAUAUAAUUUGGAUUGCAGAGAGGAUUAAUGCUAUAGAUUUCAGAAAUUAUGGAGCAUUACCUAUAGCAUGAAAUCUUCUGUCGCACUAUAAUAUUAUGGCACAAUAACUAACACUAAUAGAGAUUGAUGCCUUACAAGAAUCAUUGACACUACAAAGACAACAUAUAUUGGUACAAAAGAGAUUGUGUUUCUAUUGUCGAGAGCUAAGCCAUCAAAUUAGAGGUUGCUAAAAACGUCAAAGUACAAGUAUUAGUAAGACAAGGCAAAUUUUCACUUUUGAAACUCACAAAGGUGAUAAUGAGUUAGAACAAAAAAACAAGGCUCUGUAAUAAAGGUACAAAUGGCCAGUGCUUUUUGUAGCUAUUGUCUUUCAAAGACAAAUGACAUAGCCUUGGAUAUCUAUAAAAAGAGCCUAUUUAUCCAUCUAAUGGUGUUGUAUUGUAACAUGACUAUAUGGUGAAAGAUGAUAACAUGGAGCUUAUUAUAGAAGAGCCAAUUUAAAAGAUAAAAUAAAAAAUAUAAAUAAAAAAUAAGAAGGUAGUAAAAUAUUUAGUAGUAAUGUUGUCUUUUUAGAAAGGUAGCUUCUAUUUACUUUAUCAUAGAUAAGGCAAAAUAAGGUACAUUGGAAAAAUAAAUGAUAUAAGCAUCUUUAGAAAGAAGUUAAGAGUAAAUUCUAACAAAAAUUAUCUAGAAAAAUUAUAUAUUGAUACUCAAAAAAGGCCGGUUGUGAAUCAGGAUCAAAAUCAAACCCUGAGGUACAAAAUCAAGCCUUGAUGAUGAUUUUAGGAUUCUUUUUGUAGUUUGGAGAAUGAAUUUUGAGAACAAACUAGAUAGGAUUUUUAUGGGCAUUAUUUUUGUAUGAUUUGGAUUCACAAUGACUUUGUAAGAACUUUACAAAGUUGAGUUUGUUUUCGGAUGACUUGGAUUUUGUGAAAUAAAAUAGGAUUGAUGUUUUGGACAAUUUCAAGAGUUUUGUAAUAGAUCUAUAGAUGAAAUUUUGUAGAUUAAUGGUUAUAAUUGUGUUUAAUAUGUAUUAUAAAUUUUAGCUAGAUCUAAUAAUUGAAUUAAAGGUUAUUGAGGUUUAAGUGGGUCUAGGUCUCAAAAAGUAGAAUUUUAGAUCCAGUGAGGGUUUUUAAGAUUUCUUACAAUCUACUAGUUAAAUUCGAAUAAAAAUUAUGUAUUUAAAUAGUAGACUUGUUUUUCUUUGUUUGUGAGAAUUUUAAGAUUAAUUGAAUGGUUUGAUGAGAAGAAAUUGGCACUAAAAAUUCAACAUUUAGAUUGGAAAAGAAGGCCAAUCCAAACCUAAGCACAUUUUUGUGAUUAUCAUCCAUUUGAAGUUAAGAAUAUUAUCUUGCUCUUCAAAAAUUUUGAGCUCAAUCCAAGAGUUGGAUUAGAAGAAAUCAAGUGCUAAAGUUUUAUAUUUUUGAAGGAUAUUGGUUUUUGCUACUGGAUAUUGCUUAUUGGUACUGGAUAUUGGUUUUUGCUACUAGAUAUUGGUUAUUACUACUAGAUAUUGGUUUUUACUACUGGAUAUUGGUUAUUGCUAUUAGAUAUUGGUUUUUGAUACUGGAUAUUGGUUUUUGCUACUACAAAUUGAUUAUUGCUAUUAGAUAUUGGUUUUUGCUACUACAAAUUGAUUAUUGCUAUUAGAUAUUGGUUUUUGGUACUGGAUAUUGGUUUUUGCUAUUGGAUAUUGGAAAUUGCUAUUGGAUAUUGGUUUUUGCUACUAGAUAUUGGUUAUUGCUAUUGGAUAUUGGUUAUUACUACUAGAUAUUGGUUAUUGCUAUUAGAUAUUGAUUAUUAUUACUAGAUAUUGGUUUUUGCUAUUAAUUAUUGACUAUUGCUAUUGGAUAUUGGUUACUGCUAUUGGUUUUUUGUUAUUGCUACUAGUUAUUGGUUAUUGUUAUUGGUUAUUGGCUACUGCUAUAAGUUAUUGGUCACUGUUAUUAAUUAUUGGUUAUUACUACUAAUUACUGUUAUCAAAGCUGAUUACUAUUACUAGUUAUUUGUUGUUACAAUUUUUCUUUUAUCUUCCAUAGCUAGGUACCCAAUGCAUUUUCAAGCUAAACGCAACGUAAUAUAAUAAUGACACUACUAAGGGGACAAUUAUGUCGAGUACUUGUAGAUUGUAGUUCUACAAAAAAUUAUAUCUCAACUAAAUUACCGAUGUUAGGGACAUAGUCCUUAGACCUUUCUAGAGACAAGUUUCUAGAACCUUCUAGAAAGAAGUCUCUAGAAACUUCCAGAAGAUUCCUUCAAUAUUCUCUUAGAAUAUUCUUCAAAGAUUCCCCAAAGAUUCUUCAAAGAUUCCCUAAAGAUUCCUUUAGAAGGCUCUAGAAGAUUCUUAGAAUAUUCUAGUAGAUUCUAGGAAGUUACUUGAGAAGCUUCCUAACUCUUGGGUAGUUGCUCGAGAAGCUUCAUAGUUCUUGGGAAGCUUCUUGAUGCGCUUCCUUAGAACCAUAGGCCAGUAGUAUAUAUAGGAGUCGAGGCUGAAGGGUUCUUCAGUCUCGACAACGCAUCUCUUGAAGCUCUAGCUCAAUUCUCCUAGCGUUACUCUUGUACUCAUCUGAUAAUCUAGUUCUUGUCAUUUCUUCUUGAACUUCUUGUUUAGAUUUCUUGUUUGUAUUUUUGGUCCGUGACAGUUUGUCGAGACUGCCUUUAUCUUAAUAUCAGAGCUGAAUCCUUCUUGUUUGAGAGCGGAUUGCCCCUCUUCUUGAAGGUAUUCUAGCGCUUUAGGGGUUGCGGAUUACCUUCCUCUAAACUGAUAUUUUCUCAAUCACAAUAUCAGAGCUUAGUUCUUUGAGGCAGAGAGUGGACUACCCCUUUCCUUGAAGAUACUUGAGCGUUCUAAGGGUUGCAGAUUACCCUCUCUUGGACUGAUAUCAAUUCCUUCUUUUUGUUUAGCAUAGCUAGUGGAAAAGACUGUUAACAUCGAUUUCAGAGCUUUGCCUUCUUGAUAGAGUGCGGAUUAUCCCUCUUCUCGAAAGCAUUGAGGCAUUUUUAGAGGUUGCGGAUUACCCUCCUCUAAAACUGAAAUCGUUUAGUGUUUUUUUUCUUUUCUCUUCUCCGAGUAGAUUUUAGUGACAGGUAGUGCUACAAUUUUUUCCAAGAGACUUAGCAAUUUCUUCUUCUCUCAAAAUUUUAAUCCAUCUAUUCUCUAAAUAUGGAAGUAGACCAGGUCAUAGACAGUGCAUUUCCACAAGUAGACAAUAGAGUGGCAACUCUUGCAGAUCUUCAAGCUCUUAUGAAUAGUGUAUGAAAGGAGAUUGCAUUUCUUUGCAAUCCAAGUAAAGAACCUCAAAUUGAUCUAGUGACCGAAGAAGCUAGACGCGAAAUUCAUAGCCUACAACAAGAGAUUAUUCGAUUGAGAGAAGCAAGACAUGUGUCACAUACGACCCCUAUAGAUACUUCAAGGAUUAGUACGAAAGAACCAAAAGCGAGUAUGCCAAACAAGUUUGACGGAAGAAGAGCCAACUUCCGAGGUUUUGUGCAACAAGUACGGCUUUACCUACGCCUAUACCCUUCUCGUUAUCCGAAUGGAUUUAUCCAGGUUGCUUUCAUAGGUACUCUUCUAUCAAGAAAUGCUCGCUCUUGGCUUGCUCCACUAUUGGAGAAGGAUUCUCCAAUAUUGUACGACCUAGAGGCUUUCAUAGAGAGACUUACUGUUGCGUUUGGAGAUAGCGAUCGAGAAAGAGUGGUUGAAAGAAAGAUACAAAAUCUGCGACAAGGAUCACGUUCUGCUGCAAUCUAUACUGCAGAAUUUCAACAGCUUACAUGUGAUCUUGAUUGGAAUGAUAAGGCAUUCAUGACACGAUUUCGAUAUGGACUAAGAGAUGAUAUCAAGAACUUAUUGAUCACCAUGCCUAAGGCGGAUACUUUAGAAGAACUUAUAUCUCAGGCAAUUAUUUGUGACAACCGCCUCUUUGAAUUACGAUAAGAAAGACGAUCAGGCUGGAGAAAUGAUAGAGCAUUUGCUACAUUUUCAAAAGGUCCAGAGAAUCACUCCACAGAUCCUGAACCCAUGCAAAUUGAUGCGGUACGUUUCAAACCCCUCACAGUUGAGGAAAGGAAGCGACGGUUUGAACAAAACUUGUAUUUAUAUUGCGGAGAAGUGGGCCAUAAAGCUGUAGAUUGUCGGAAGAAACAGAAGCCUCAAACAACAAGACUCAGGAGUAUAAGCAUGCAGGAAAACAAGGACGCCCAGCCACAAUAAGGACCGUGCGGCUGGACAUCUCAACAUCCAAAAUUAAUCAAGGUUCCUUUUUCUCAGCUCAACUUUCAGAUUGUUUUAUGGUACCUUUACAUCUGGGUAUUCAAGAACUAUAAGUCGAUGCUUUAUUAGACUCGGGUGCAUCCGUUUGCUUUAUAGAUGAAGAGUUUGCCAAGCUUCACAAUAUUUCUCUUGUAAAGAAACUUAAGCCUGUCCAUGUAGAAGUCAUAGACGGACGACCAUUGUCUUCGGGCAAUGUUAUCCAUGAAACUAAACCAUUGAAGGUACGUCUUGAAAACCACGAGAGCAAUAUUGUGUUUAAUGUUAUCAAGACCCUUUCAUGUCCUAUCAUUUUGGGACUAACUUGGCUUGAUAGAUAUAAUCCAUUGAUAGAUUGGAAGUUGCGGAAAGUGACAUUUCCAACAAACUCCUUGAAGGUGGAAUCUGCCAAGACAAUGUCUAGAAACAAAUCCUUGUUUAUAGGUGCAAGGGCUUUCAUGAAGGAAGCCAAGCAAAAUACACCUCUUGUCAUCUUCGCAACUCCGACUCGAGAAGAUGCAACUUCGACUUUGGUUAUUCCAAAGCAGUAUGAAGAAUUCAAAGAUGUCUUUGAAAAGAAGAAUGCUGAUAUGCUGCCAGAGCAUCGACCCUAUGACUGUGCCAUUGAAUUGCAAGAAGGAGCACAACCACCUUUUGGACCAAUCUACAAUUUGUCGCAGACGGAGUUGACUAAGUUGCGGAAGUACAUUGACGAGAAUCUAGCCAAGAACUUCAUCCGUCAUUCGAAGUCGCCAACUGGGGCACCAAUCUUAUUUGUGAAGAAGAAGGAUGGCUCACUACGGAUGUGCGUAGACUAUCGAGGUCUCAACAAGGUGACAAAAAAGAAUUGCUACCCACUGCCUUUGAUCUCUGGUCUUCUAGAACAACUUAGGCGUGCAAGGAUCUUUACAAAGAUUGACCUAAGGGGAGCUUACAACCUUGUGCGAAUCAAGGAAGGAGAUGAAUGGAAGACAGCUUUCCGAACAAGGUAUGGCCAUUUUGAAUACAAUGUCAUGCCAUUUGGUCUUACUAAUGCUCCAGCGGUCUUUCAACACAUGAUGAAUGACAUCUUUCGAGAGCAUCUAGACGAUUUUGUUGUCAUCUAUCUAGAUGAUAUUUUGAUAUUUUCUAAAAACGAGGAAGAACAUGAGAAGCACGUUCGUCUGGUACUCAAAAAACUACGGGAGCGAGGACUCUAUGCCAAAUUGGAGAAGUGCUUAUUUCACCAAAUUGAGAUGGAGUUUUUGGGAUUCAUCGCGACUACGGAAGGCUUGAAGAUGGAUCCAAAGAAGGUGGAAGCAAUCAUGUCUUGGAAAAAUCCGAAGACGGUUAGGGACGUACAAUGUUUUCUUGGAUUUGCUAACUACUAUCGGAUCUUCAUCAAGAAUUAUUCUCAAGUUGCUGCCCCUCUCACUCCGUUAACGUGCAAGGACAAGCUCGAAUGGAGACCUAUCGCAGAAAAAGCAUUUCAAGAUUUGAAGAUGGUAUUUAUUACAACUCCAAUCUUGGUACAUCCCGACUUUACAAAGGCCUUUUAUUUGGAGACAGAUGCUUUGGAUUUUGCUUUGAGAGCUGUACUUUCACAGAUGGGCGUAGAUGAGAAGCUCCAUCCAGUUGCGUUCUAUUCUUGAAAAUUCUCUGCUGCUGAGAUCAAUUAUGAGAUCCACGAUAAGGAACUCCUUGCUAUAGUAGAUUCUUUCCAAGAGUGGCGCCACUUUCUUGAAGGAACUACACAUCCAGUGGCCGUUGUCGUGUUGUAACACGAGUAUACAGUGAAAAUAAAAAGAAAGGGGAAUUUUAUUAAUAUUCAGUUACCUCGAAUAUUGGGAACAUCGACCAACUCCAGUACAAAUACUGAGUGGUCAGGUUCAGUGACUCCGUUACAGUCAGCCGGGGCAUACUGAAAUGCUCCGUUCGAUUCCAAUAACGGGAGUCAGCAGGAAGAGAAGGACCAAUUCACACGACGGGUUCGAGGAGCCAAUUGGAUCCAAUUUCGAUAAUCCAAUCCGGGUCCUCUUACCCAAUAUGAGACCUGUAUUGGUGGGGCAACCCAAUGCAGUCUAGUUACGGGAAAUCCAGGUCUUACUACGGGUCUUAGCCAAUCUGACGCGAGGACCAAUUUGACCCAAUUACGGGAACAUCCAGGUUACUACGGGCAUCUUUACCAAUAUAGGACCUGAAUUGGUCGGGCGACUCAAUGUGGUCCCGAUUACGGGGUUCGAUUCUGUUUCAGGCUGUCCUGUUCUCUGUGCUGUCUCAGGGAACGUUGUUUUCGGUAAAUGGAUUUCUUAAAGGCAAAAACAGAGGAGAAAGCUUGACGGCGAGAGCCAAUUUCGGAUCCAAGCUUGAGGUGGGAGCCAAUUCCGGAUCUAAGACGGAAGAUUGAAGAAAUUCAGAGGAUAAGGUUAGGUGGGAUAUAGUUUUGGGGGUGGUUUUUUUUUUUGAAGGGAAAUCGGGGGGGGAAGGAUUUUUUCAAGCUUUUGCAAGGUUACUAGUUCGGUUUUUUUUUUUGGAUGUUUUUGAAGAUCAAGGGAAUUAGAGAGAGGAGCUUCAUGCUUCGGGUCGGGGAAGGAAAGACAUAGAAUUUGGAUUUUUCUUCUUCGUAGAGUUUUGGGGAAGACUGAGGCAAUCGCUGCUGAAGUCAGUGUUGUAAUGGUGAAUCGGGAUUUUUAAAUGAAGUGGGUUUGAAUACUCUUGACUGUUUUGUGAAAUCGAGUUACGUCUGUGAUUGAAGGAUUAAAAGGGUGUCUAUAGGAUUGAGUAUGCGGAGUGAAUGAAAUUUAUUGGGUUAAUCUAACAAGACAGUCAGUGGAUACAAGAUCAUAAGUACAAAGCAAUAUUGAAGGUUAACAGUUUGGGUUGUACGGGGUUCUCUGUAACGCCUAGAGACCUACCGGCUGGGGCAAAAAGGACUUUGACAAGCAGUCGAAGAGCACCCGUAUAGAUUUACGGUACAUUUUUGCAGUCGUUUAUAUUCCAGCAGUCAAAAACUGAUAGACUGCUUGACUAUCGGCGAAUCUCCAUACUACCUUCUACAGCCAGACGCCCGGCGCGUUCUCGAGCAGGUAAGCACGUAAUACGACAUAAGUGGUGAACCCGACGUGAAAGCUUGAGGUAGAAGGUAUUGGAUUUCGGUUGAUUUUAUCUUUAUUUUUAUGGAAAACGAAAAUAAAAAUUUUGAAGGAUUUUUGGGAGAAGUUUCUGGUGGGGAGUCUUCUAAAGGACAAGGUAUGCACAUGGAUCCGUCUAUUGUUAGUUUGUUUCAAGCCUUCUCAUUGUCAAUGCAGCAACAGCAAAGCAAUGAUCGGAAGGAAGCUUUGGCAACCAAAGCAUUGCAAGCAGUGGUCAAUAAAAUUGAUGAAUUUGAUGGGAGGAAUAUUUCAAGGUAUUUAAGAUGUUAUGUUCGUGAAAUGGAAUUAAAUCGGGUUUCUGAGAAGAAAAUGGUUGCACUAUUUGGACUUGCCACGAUACCGGAGAUAAGGGACCACAUUACAUCGAUUACGGAUCGUUGUGGGAAUUCAUGGGAGGAUUUUUCACAUGCAUUGAAAGACGAAUAUUUCUUGGAAGAUACUGAUCGCGUUACUAAGAAGCUGUUUCUAGGAUGGAUUGAACGGCCCAAUAAGAAUUUGUAAGCAACAGAGCUACUAAGGGAAUUUGAGAGGCAGUACUCUCAAUUAUCGAAGGUAGAAAAAUUGACAUUGGAGCCGAACAAAGUUGAUCUAUUUCUUCAAGCUGCUGAUGGAGAAUUGCAAGAGAAAUUAGAACCCCUUCUUGAAGACAAAGAAGAAGAUGAAGGAUUGACAACGAAGUGGAAGAACGUUGAAGAUGCGGUGGGGUUGCUUACAAAAAAAGAAAGGAGGAAGGAUAGGAGCAAUAUUCCGAAAACAGUACAAGCACCCAAAGCUCCAGUACGUACAACACCACCGACAAUGCCUACAGUUCAACCUUCGACAUCCUUGUCAAUGAAAGCAGAUAUGGGUAUGGAAGAAAUUAUACGAGGAAUGCGAGAUCUUCAAAUCAAAUUGGCAAGACUUGAAGAGAAUACUUCUAUAAAUAAUUCGAAGAAUGUUUCAAAACAAGGAUAUGUACAAAGAUGCAUUUGGUGUGAUGAUGCUUCACACACUAGAAAAGAUUGCAAUGAAUUUAAUAAUAUGAUACGGCAGGGAAUUAUUUGCUAGAAAGAUGGGAAGAUAGCAUUGAAAGAUAGGGAGGAUCUUCUUCAAACCAAUUUUGGCAAGGGAGGAAUGAAAGCAUUGGUUCAAGAUUACUUAAAAGAGCAUGAAACAGUAGUACGAGAAAGUGCAAGUUAUGGUGCUAGAGUAGAUGAUGAAAUUGGUGGAAGUACGAAAACUAGUGAGUUUUGGGCUUCUGCCGUUUCUACAAUGCAAGAAGGGAAAUUACCUCGAGAAGCGUUAUUGAGAACUGCAGCUACAAUACGAGGAAGAACAGGUUGGGAGGAUCCUGUUGAGUCUCUUUCAGUUCAUGCAUAUAUUGCUAAGAGCCAACAUGAAGCUUUGAUGGAAGAAAAAAGACGAGGAAAUUUUGAUGAUACUAGAGAAGGAAAUUCUUUUAAGAGGCAAACUCGAGGAGACAAGGCUCGGGAGGCAGCUUCACAAGAAUUGCCUGUAAAGGAUACCUCAGCAUCAUUGGAAGAAAAAACAACGGAGACAAAAGAUAAGGGCAAAUCAAUUGCUUAUAAGCUACUUUCUGACAUUGAAGCGGCAACAAAUUUGAAAGGGGUGUUGGAAGAACGUAUAUUAAACGCUAAGGUGGAAUUCACAUUGAAAGAAGUCUUAGGAAUUGCAAAGAAGGAGUUUCAUGACGUUAUCAUUGAUAGCAUUAAGUGAAAAAAGCAAUUAAUGGACGGAACUGGAAUGAGUCAUGCUAUUGAUGCAAGAAUAUAUAAAGAUGAAGAAGAGGUUGAUAUUGGUUAGAAGCAAGUAACAAUUGAAAAGAAUGGAUAUAAUAAACGAGUACGUUUUGAAGAUUAUAGUGAUAAAGAAAUGAAAACUUUGAGUCAUUAUACUCAAAAGCAUUGGGCAAGGGCAACUACUGAGGUAUUGGUGAAGGUAGGAGAUAUAGAAGAACCAAUAGUUGCUUUGGUGGACCAUGGUUCUGAAAUAAAUCUCAUGUCUAAAGAUCUUUAUAAGAAGCAAAAAUGGCCAAUUGAUAUGGAACAUGGAUGGCCAAUACGAGCAGCUAAUAACACACGAGGCGAAUUAUAUGGAGCUUGUCCAGAUGUCAAAAUUCGGAUUGGGGAUGUUGCUACGGAACAACAUUUCUUCGUUCAAGAUACAACGUCUUAUCCGUUGAUUUUAGGACAACCUUAUAUCACGGCAACACGGAUGGAAACAAAGGUUCUUGACGAUGGUUCUGCUUAUGCAAGGGUACGGAGCGAAGAUGGGAGGAAAGCUGUAUAAUUUCUAACAGUACCUCCUAACCAUGAACAGAAUCGAGAUAGGUUGAGGGAGAAACCAUUGCCAAAGAUUGUUGAAGGAUUUAAGGAUUUUGGAGAGGUACCACUGUAAAGCAAGAUUAUGGAGGUACAAAAGAGGAGGUACUCUCGCGAGAUGAAGGUGCCUUUGAUGCGAGUUUUAUUGGUAUAUUAGAGAAUGGAAAUAUUAUGUAUAAGAAAGUUGAUGAUUUUAAAAGAAAAGAAAGAAAAAGAUUAUAUGAUAUUGAAGGACAGUUACGCAAGAUAGGUACAUUGCAAGAUGAUGAGAGGAUUUUGGAUGUUUAUGAAGAAAAUGGGCUGGAAGAUUCAUUGGAAUUGAUUACAUCUAUUGGGUUAGGGGAUAAUGAUAAGAUUGUUGAGAUUCAUUCGAGAGAGGUUUAUACCAUGCUUGAAUCUUUUCAAGCACCAGAAGUCACAGUAGAGACGAGAUAUAAAACGGCAGAUAAGAAGGUAAAGCCUGUUGCCGGACCAUUACCAGAGGAUUCUAAAGAACAAAUGGGAGAAGCAUCAAAAGAAGCAAGUUUAAGAGAUCCAAUGAGUAUUGGACAUCAGUUUACUGAAGAGACUUUUGAAGAAUUGAAGAUUGGUUCUGAUGGUUCUUUAUUGCCAGAGGAAAUUACUUGCUUCAAAAAGAUGUUGGCUAAACAAGGUAGAUCGUUUGCCUUCGAAUCUCAUGAAAUUGGGUGUGUGGAUCCAAAUAUUAUAACACCUAUGGUUAUCUUCACUGUACCGCAUGUACCUUGGAAUCUAAGACCGAUUCCAGUACCGAGGGAACAUUUACCUAAAUUGAUGGAACUAUUGAAAGAAAAGAUAAAGAUGAAAAUAUUAGAACCUUCAUUUACGCCGUAUUCUAGUCGAUGGUUUACGGUACCAAAGAAGAAUGGAUCACUGGGGUUUAUUCAAGAUAUGCAGCCGGUGAAUGCUGUAACUGUCAGGAAUGCAGGAAUUGGACCUAUUGUGGAUGAAUUUGCUGAGGCGUUUGCUGGAAGGGCGAUCUAUUCAAUGGGUGAUUUGUAUUCAGGUUAUGAUCAAUUUCAACUUGCCGAAGGAAGUAGAGUUAUGACAACGAUGAGGACACCGCUUGGAUUGGUUAGAAUGUGCACUCUUCCUCAAGGCGCGACCAACUCAGUUGCGCAUAUGAUGAAUGGGAUGAAUAAGGUAUUGAGAGAUUUUAUCUCGGAAAAGACUAUGCCUUUUCUGGAUGAUGUUCCUAUAAAGGGGUGCAGAGAAGGAGACAAGGAUGAAACUUUAGAUACGAGGGGGUGUCGCAGAUAUGUUGUUGAUCAUAUACAAGAUUGUGAAAAGAUUUUAACUCGGCUUGGAGAAGUUCAUCUUACAUUAUCGGAUAUGAAGUCCGUAUUUGGAGUGCGAGAGGUUGUAAUUGUUGGACAUUUAUGCGGAUCUUACGGAAGAAAACCAGAUCCGACUAAAGUUGAUGCAAUUGGAAGGAUGAAAGAGGAUUGUGGUUCUUUAAAAGAGGUUCGCAGGUUUUUGGGUGCAUGUGUAUUUUAUCGAAUCUGGAUCCCUCAUUUUGCUCACAUAGCGGAUCCAUUAUAUGAACUGUUACGCAAGGGUUACCGAUUUGAAUGGAAAGAAAGGCAUAUUCAGACAAUGCAUAGAUUGAAGAAAUUAUUGAUGUCACCUCCAAUAUUGAGGAAGGUUGAUUAUAAGUGCAAUAGACCAGUGAUUCUUACUGUAGACGCUAGUCCAAUUACCGUUGGAUGGGCGGUGGGUCAAGAUGAUUCGAAUGGGAGUAGAUUUGCAGUUCGAUUUGGGGCUAAAGUUUUAAGUAUUUGUCAGCGUGCAUAUUCGCAAGUCAAAAGAGAACUUUGGGGAGUCGUUUCGGCUAUGAAAGCUGAAAAGGACUAUUUGAUUGGGGCAGUAGUAGUAAUUGAAACAGAUUGCUUGCCAUUGCUUGGAAUGAUUAUUAACUGUUCAACGCCAGAUAUUGCAAUGUUGAGAUGGAUUGCUUAUAUUAAGUCACUAAAUCCAGAAUUUAAGCAUAUCACUGGAAAGGACAAUUUAGUAGCAGACAUGCUAUCUCGAGCAAGAUACGAGAGGGAGGACGAAAUGGUUGAAGACAUUGAUGAUGUCGGAUUGAAAUUUUAUUCAAUAUCAAAUCUCAACAGAGAAGACAAGCUAUUUCUUGAAGAAGCUUAUGAAGGAGAGUUAUUGGAUAUUGGUCAUUAUUUGAAUACCUUGUCUAAGCAGGGGAAUUGGUCUACAGAAAAAUUCAAACAAAUAAGAAAAAAAGCAUAUGGAUUUUUACUUCGAGAUGGAUUCUUAUGGAAGAGACCGAAGAAAGGAAUUGGGAUGCCACAACGAGUGAUAGGCAAAAGGGAAGAAAAACUAAAAUUAUUAAAGGAGUUUCAUGAUAGUUUAUGGGCAGGGCAUAGAGGAAUCUGGGCUACUUUUGCUAAACUCAAGGAACGAUAUUGGUGGAAAAAUAUGUAUCGAGAUGUGCUCUCAUUUGUAGAGUCAUGUGAAAUCUGUCAAUCGUAUUCUAAUAUCCGACAUCGAGAUGGUCUUCAUCCUACGUAUCCUCUGGCUAUUCAUUUUAAAUGGGUUGUUGAUUUGGUUAUUAUGCCAGUUGGGUUAUGGCAGAUGAGAUAUUUGGUUUUAGCUCGUGAAGAUUUAUCAAAUCAAGUAGAAGGAAGAGCAUCGAGGACAAAAUCUACAGAGGGGAUUUGUAGGUUUUUGCUUGAAGAUGUCAUUUGCCGUUACGGGUGCGUAGGAAAAAUCACUGCAGAUCGUGGAGAAUUAAAUGCACAAGAAGCUCGUAAGUUCUUUGAAAGAUGUGGAGUUAAACUAUCACUGACUACUGCUUAUAAUCCGGAAGGGAAUGCGAAAAGUGAACGCGGUCACCCGUCGAUUGUGAAAGCAUUAGUUAAAGCUUGUAAUAGGAAGGUUAAAGAGUGGCCACGGCUUUUGUCAUUUGCAUUAUGGGCUGAUCGAACAACACAUAGUUCGGUGACAGGAUAUAUGCCAGUAGAACUUAUGACAGGUCAAAAACCAAUUAUGCCGAUUGAAGAAAAGGUACUUACUUGGAGUAUGCUACCAUGGGAAGAUGGAUUGACAAGAGAAGAACUUCUGGCUAUUAGGAUUCGACAAUUGGAGCAAAGAACGGAAGAUGUCCAGAUAGCAUUGGAAAGGUUAAAAAGAGCAAGGUUACAAAACAAGGCGUGAUUCGAUAAGCAACAUCGAUUGAGACCAAAAGCAAUCGAGGAAGGUGACUGGAAACUUGUUUAUGACAAUAGUCUGGAUAAUCAACAUAGUACUUUGCGGAAAUUUUCAAAACGUUGGUUUGGACUAUAUGUAGUAACAACUGUUCAUGAUAAUGCGACUUACUCAUUACGGGAGUUAGAUGGUACAAAAUUGAAAAUACCAAUUGCAGGGAAGAGAGUAAAAAUAUUUAAACGAAGACACGCAGAGAUGAAUAUGGAAGACCUUAAUGAAGGUACAGAGAUUCCGCAGCAAGAAGAUGAAAGUGAUAUGGAUAAUGAAGGUGACGAAGACGAACUGGAGAAAGACGUAGGGGAUAUAUUCUGAAUCAAACAGCAAUUGGGUAAAUUGGUGCAUACCGGAGGAUGCACAGGUUCAGAGGGGGUGGAUGUCGUGUUGUAACACGAGUAUACAGUGAAAAUAAAAAGAAAGGGGAAUUUUAUUAAUAUUCAGUUACCUCGAAUAUUGGGAACAUCGACCAACUCCAGUACAAAUACUGAGUGGUCAGGUUCUGUGACUCCGUUACAGUCAGCCGGGGCAUACUGAAAUGCUCCGUUCGAUUCCAAUAACUGGAGUCAGCAGGAAGAGAAGGACCAAUUCACACGACGGGUUCGAGGAGCCAAUUGGAUCCAAUUUCGAUAAUCCAAUCCGGGUCCUCUUACCCAAUAUGAGACCUGUAUUGGUGGGGCAACCCAAUGCAGUCUAGUUACGGGAAAUCCAGGUCUUACUAGGGGUCUUAGCCAAUCUGACGCGAGGACCAAUUUGACCCAAUUACGGGAACAUCCAGGUUACUACGUGCAUCUUUACCAAUAUAGGACCUGAAUUGGUCGGGCGACUCAAUGUGGUCCCGAUUACGGGGUUCGAUUCUGUUUCAGGCUGUCCUGUUCUCUGUGCCGUCUCAGGGAACGUUGUUUUCGGUAAAUGGAUUUCUUAAAGGCAAAAACAGAGGAGAAAGCUUGACGGCGAGAGCCAAUUUCGGAUCCAAGCUUGAGGUGGGAGCCAAUUCCGGAUCUAAGACGGAAGAUUGAAGAAAUUCAGAGGAUAAGGUUAGGUGGGAUAUAGUUUUGGGGGUGGUUUUUUUUUUUGAAGGGAAAUCGGGGGGGGAAGGAUUUUUUCAAGCUUUUGCAAGGUUACUAGUUCGGUUUUUUUUUUUGGAUGUUUUUGAAGAUCAAGGGAAUUAGAGAGAGGAGCUUCAUGCUUCGGGUCGGGGAAGGAAAGACAUAGAAUUUGGAUUUUUCUUCUUCGUAGAGUUUUGGGGAAGACUGAGGCAAUCACUGCUGAAGUCAGUGUUGUAAUGGUGAAUCGGGAUUUUUAAAUGAAGUGGGUUUGAAUACUCUUGACUGUUUUGUGAAAUCGAGUUACGUCUGUGAUUGAAGGAUUAAAAGGGUGUCUAUAGGAUUGAGUAUGCGGAGUGAAUGAAAUUUAUUGGGUUAAUCUAACAAGACAGUCAGUGGAUACAAGAUCGUAAGUACAAAGCAGUAUUGAAGGUUAACAGUUUGGGUUGUACGGGGUUCUCUGUAACGUCUAGAGACCUACCGGCUGGGGCAAAAAGGACUUUGACAAGCAGUCGAAGAGCACCCGUAUAGAUUUACGGUACAUUGUUGCAGUCGUUUAUAUUCCAGCAGUCAAAAACUGAUAGACUGCUUGACUAUCGGCGAAUCUCCAUACUACCUUCUACAGCCAGACGCCCGGCGCGUUCUCGAGCAGGAAAGCACGUAAUACGACAUCGUAUAUACAGAUCACAAGAAUUUGGAGUAUUUUAUGUUGGCUCGGGUUUUGAAUCGGCGUCAAGCUCGGUGGAGUAUGUCGCUAUCCAGGUUUGACUUUGUUAUUACUUAUCGGCCUGGGAAGCAACAAGGGUUGUCCGAUGCAUUAUCAAGGAGAUCAUAGCUCGUGCCAAAGGCUGGAGAUGCAGCAUUUGAUCAACAGUGCACGAUAUUGUUGAAGCCAGAGAAAUUUCGGCUCAACGCAGCUAUUGUACCAAUUGAUGCUGACUUCCUCGACCAGGUACGGGCCGCAACCAUUGAAGAUUCUCUAGCCCUUGAUAUCAAGCAACAUGCUAGUGAUGAUAAAUUCAAGAUGGAAGGAGAUCUAGUAUAUUUCGAAGAGCGGUUGUAUAUCCCAAAAGGGCCAACACGACUCCGAGUUCUUCAAUCUCGUCAUGACUUUCCAGUUGCGGGACAUUUUGGAUUCAAUAAGACCUUGGAACUUAUUUCCCGCGAUUUCUGGUGGCCUCAAAUGUAGAAGGAUGUGAAAGAUUUUGUUGUAUCUUGUGACAUUUGUUGAAGAUCCAAAAGCCCUCGACAUCGGCCUUAUGGACUUCUACAGCCAUUGCCUAUUCCGCGCCGACCAUGUUCUUCGGUUUCCAUGGACUUUAUUAUGGAUCUACCACCAUCGAAUUCAUUUGACAGCAUUUUUGUUGUCGUAGACCGGCUUACAAAGAUGGCGCAUUUUGUCCCCUGCAAGAAGACAUCGUCAAGCGAAGACACAGCAAAACUCUUUCUUGAUAGUGUGUAUCGAUAUCAUGGUCUACCAGAUGAUAUCGUAUCGGAUCGAGGAACCCAGUUUGUGUCAAAGUUUUGAAAAUCUCUUUUUGAAAUAUUGAAGGUGGAUAUCAAGCUUUCUUCGGCAUUUCAUCCUCAAACGGACGGCCAAACAAAACGGGUGAAUCAAGUUUUAGAGCAAUAUUUACGUUGCACCAUCAACUAUCAACAAGAUGAUUGGGCCGCAUAUCUACCGCUAGCCGAGUUCGCAUAUAACAACACCCUUCAUGCGUCAACUCAACAAACGCCAUUCUUUUCCAAUUAUGGAUACCAUCCAAAGCUUGACUUAUGGAGUUCGUCAACGAUUAACAAUCCGGCAGCUGAAGGAUUGGUGAAGGAGCUUUUGCAGCUUCAAACUACAUUGAAGCUUCAAUUGCAAACUGCCCAAGAAUCUUACAAGGCGUCCGCGGAUAAAUUUCGGAAUCAGGCACCUAAAUUCACGAUUGGAGACAAAGUUUGGCUGCUUCGACGAAAUAUUAAGACAAAGCGGCCAUGUGACAAAUUGGACUAUCGGAGAUUGGGACCAUUUGUUAUCCAGAAGCAGAUCAAUCUUGUAGCGUAUCGUCUGGAGUUACCAGCUACUAUGAAGGUACAUCCUGUCUUUCAUGUUUCUUUGUUGGAGCCUUAUCGAGAAUCGUCUUUUCCUGGAAGAGUACAAUGUCCACCACCUAGCAUAGAAAUAGAGAACCACGAAGAAUACAAGGUGGAAAAGGUCCUGGAUUCACGGCAAAGACAGGGUAAAUUAGAAUACUUUGUGCAUUGGAGUGGUUACAAUAUUAAUGAACGAACAUGGGAGCCGAUCGAAACUCUCGCGAAUGCCCCGCAAAAGGUACAGGAGUUUCAUCGACGAUAUCCUGAGAAACCCAAGCCAAUUCGACGAUAGCUUCUUACUGAAGCUUGCUCAUUCAGAAAACAGAAAAGAGGAGAGAGCACCACCAAAAUCCAUAGUUGAUGUAGUCAUCCUCUCCAAGAUAGCGUAGAACUUUGUUAGUAGCCCAAGUUUGUUCUUAUUGUUUUAGCCUUUGAAUAUGGAUAGCCAAGAUACUACACUUGUCAUGUCAUCUCAAGCAACUAGCUCACGAAGACGACCGCGAGAUGAAGAACCGCCUGCACCAGGACGACGUCGAAGGAUUCCGAGCAACAGAUCGCUGAUGAUUGUAUUUGAGGUCGAGCCUGCCUACAAUGGUCAGCCAAAAGGAGUGUUUGCACGACAAUUUCACAAUGAAGACACGGAGGUUCAUGCUUGGUCAGAAGUUGAAGGCGUGGGCCACUAUCGUUGGCUUCAAGGAUCAUUGAAUCAUUUGCCUCGUGAACAACAAUUGGAGUUCAUAGCAGAGGUUAUGUGACAGAUCUUCAUUUUCUUGCGUUGGUAUUGACUGACGAUAACAUUGCUUCUCGGAGACCUCGAAGCUAAAGGAGGAGGUGAUGUUAGGGACAUAGUCCUUAGACCUUUCUAGAGACAAGUUUCUAGAACCUUCUAGAAAGAAGUCUCUAGAAACUUCCAGAAGAUUCCUUCAAUAUUCUCUUAGAAUAUUCUUCAAAGAUUCCCUAAAGAUUCUUUGAAGAUUCCCUAAAGAUUCCCUUAGAAGGCUCUAGAAGAUUCUUAGAAUAUUCUAAUAGAUUCUAGGAAGUUACUUGAGAAGCUUCCUAGCUCUUGGGUAGUUGCUCGAGAAGCUUCAUAGUUCUUGGGAAGCUUCUUGAUGCGCUUCCUUAGAACCAUAGGCCAGUAGUAUAUAUAGGAGUCGAGGCUGAAGAGUUCUUCAGUCUCGACAACGCAUCUCUUGAAGCUCUAGCUCAAUUCUCCUGGCGUUACUCUUGUACUCAUCUGAUAAUCUAGUUCUUGUCAUUUCUUCUUGAACUUCUUGUUUAGAUUUCUUGUUUGUAUUUUUGGUCCGUGACAACCGAUCGGCUUGGAAUUAAAACCAAGGAAAUCAAGAGAGGAAAUAUAUACCAUACAGAUGACCAAGAGAACGUGUUGAUUGAAACUUGUGAAGUAGAAACCUUAAGAUUAACAGACACCAACGUCUUAAGAGAAAGAUUCAAGGUGACAAAGCUAAAGUAUGAUGUUAUCCUUCAUAUGCCAUGUCUAGAGAUGGAAAUUAAGAAAAUUAAUUAGGUAGCAAGGACAAAUAUUUUUAAAGAUAGAAGAUGCAAAAUAACUCUUUCUACCUCAACAUCAAGUGAAGAGGAAAGACAACCUAUAACUAAAGACUUAUUUGUAGAGACAACUUUUAUGAAGAUGCAAUAUACUAUAAACAAUUGAUAUAUAUGGUGGUUCCAAAUUUUGUGACAGUAGUAGAAAAGACAGCCAAAGGGAUAAAACGAGUAGAGCAACUCAUAUAAGAAUAUCAAGAUGUCUUUUCAACCGACCUAUCUAGUGGCGUAUCUCCUGAUCAAGGUGCCUUCUUUCAAAUAGAACUAUUACUUGGAGCCAAAUUAGCAAGUCGAUCAAUUUCUUGCCUAGCACCAAAAGAAUUUGAAGAAUUGCAAAAGACAUUGGAUGAACUUUUAGAGAAAGGCUUCAUUUGAAAAAGUACAUCACUAUAGGCAGCACAUGUAUUCUUUGUAUCUAAGAAAGAUGGUGAACUUUGCAUUUGCAUCAACUGUCAAGGUCUCAAUAAGUAGACUAUUAAAAAUAUAUAUCCACUUCCACACGUGGAUAAUCUUUUGGACCAAUUUAAAGAUGUAACCAUCUUUAUUAAAUUAGAUAUUCAGAGUGGCUAUUGGCAAAUACCUAUUGCAAGAGAGGAUGUGGAAAAGACGACAUUUCAUACGUACUAUGGAUAUUUUGAAUGGCUGAUUUUAUCCUUUGAUAUCACCAAUGCUCUAGCGUCUUUCAUAGGUCAAAUGAAUAAAUUAUUAAAAGACCUUUUGAACGAGUAUGUAGUUGUCUUUAUUGAUGAUAUCUUCACAUAUAAUAAAAUCUUUGAAGAGCAUGAGUAACACCUAUGAAAGGUAUUGGGCUGGCUAGAAGACAGUUGAUUCUAUUGCAAGCAAUUAAAAUGUGAACUUUGGAAGUCAAAAGUUACCUUUUUGAGGCAUGUGGUGUCCUCUAAAGGCGUGCACAUGGAAUAAGAUAAGGUGAAAGCAGUGGAGGAUUGGCCAACCUCUAAAGAUGCUUCUAAAGUUUCCUCAUUUUUAGGCCUUACUGGAUAUUAUCACCAUUUUGUUCGGCAAUUUGCUUACAUAAUUGUGUCAUUGUUAAACCUAUUGGAGAAAGAUACCUCAUUUGAAUAGAAAUUGGAGUAGUAAAAUGCCUUAGAUAAGUUAAAAGAGGCACUCAUUACUGCACUCAUAUUAUAAUCAUAUCAUCUUAAUCUCCUUUGAAUGCUUGAAAUUAAUGCUUCUAAUUUUGCUAUUGGAACAGUCUUUUAAUAAGACUUUGGUAAGGGCCUUCAACUUGUGGCAUAUGAAUUAUGCAAACUCAAAGGGACAAAGAGAAAUUAUUCUACACAUAAUCAAGAGUAAUUAGUAAUUAUACAAGCUACAAAGAUGUAGAAAAGCUAUCUAUUAGAAAAGCAUGUAGUUUUUUGGACUGAUUAACAACCCUUGCUAUAAAAUUUGCAUCUAAAAAAUAUGAAAUCAUGGCAUUAUUGUUGGGAAGAACAAUUGCAGCUUUUUGAUAUGCAACUUGAGUACAAACAAAGAAAAUAGCAUACAAUCCUACAUAAUUUAUUACAAAGACCAAACUUGAAGGACAAAUUAAAAGUUAAUGCAAAAGUUGCUUUCAUUAAUAGUAUCAUUUCAGAUCUAACCAAAGAGGCAGAAUGGAAAGAAGCUACACAAUGAGAUGCUUAUUUAAAGUUAGUUAGUGAUUGAUUGAGAGUUGAUAAUAUAUAAUAUGAAUAUUACAAUCCUAAUAAUGGCUUGCUCAAUUUCAAGAAGUAAAUUUAUAUACUUGAUAAUACUAAACUCCAAACAUGCAUAGAUUUAAAUUAUACGUGAAUCAUAUAAAUCACUCAUCUUAUAAAUUAGAAUAAAGAUGGUUAGAGAAGAACUAUAUAAAUCACUCAUCUUAUAAAUUAGAAUAAAGAUGAUUAGAGAAGAAUAAUAUAAAUCACUCUCACCUUGUAAAUUGGAAUGAAGAUGAUUAGAGAAGAAAUAUAUAAAUUUUUCACCUUGUAAAUUCGAAUGAAGAUAAUUAGAGAAGAGUUGUACAUAUUGGAUAAAAUGUGAGAAGGUUAUGUAUUGAAAUGGAGUGCUUAAUCAUUGAAAUGGCAUUUGUUGCAUGGAAAUGGAAUGAGCUUAAAGAAGUUUGCAUCAAAAAAUCAGGAGAAUGAUAUAAUUUAAGAAAAGAAAAAAAAAAAAAAAAAAAAGCGUGGAGCACAAAAACAAGAAUGCAAAAAGAGAAGAGAAACAAUGGACAGCAGAGUCAUCAACUGCAUGAUUUAAACCUGCACAGAGAAAUCCUAGAAAAUUUCAAGUUUGUUGUCUUAACCACUUGGUGAAAAUUGACAUAUGCCAUUCUCCACAACUUCAGCAAUCAAAUGUAAACAAUCUAAUAUUCGCUCUAAUAUUGAUGAAACAAGACUAGACUAUCUCAAAAAUCCAAGAUCCUUCUAUUCCAUAAUAAUAUAAUAUCUCAUCACAAAAUAAGAUAAAAUAGACUAAAAAAAAAUUGAAUAGAAUUACACAAAAUAGUACAUAAAAGAUAACUUAGCAGACAAAAACAAAACAUAACAAAAUUGAACAAAAAGAGGUUUAUGCAAAACCAAACUUUACUAAAAAAAAGGAUUUGAAGUCGUAUCUCACUAGAUAUCCCAAAAAGCUUUGAUAAGUCCAUUUAUAUCUUAUCUUACUACCCUAGACUUUCUAAAAUAUUUCUAAGAAGUAGAUUCUAUCUAUAUAAUUGACUUAAAUUCUUUUUUUAGAAAUUUCUAUGAUAGGUCCUAUCUAAAUAACUAUCUUAAGUAUUUUCUAAAAAGUUCUAUGGUAGGCUUCAUCUAAAUAAUCGUCCUAAAUUUUUCUAGAAUGUUCUGUAGAGGAUCCUAUUUAGUCCUGUAGAAUAGGUAAAUAAACUUUGUGGUAAGUUACUGGUUGGUUAUUGACAACCUUGAGAAUUAGACUGAUAGUUACGCAGUUUAGAUGGUAACAAUAGGUUGUCAGUGAAAUAAAUGGUUAAGAAUUCAAAGGGUCAUAACCUUUGGAAUCCGCUGGCCGACGGAUCAUCUUUUGGUAGCAUAAAUAGGUUGAGGAAAGGUAAGCCGAGAGCCAGACUGUGAGAGUUGUAAGUCGAGAGUCCGACUGAGAGUUGUAAGGCGAGAGCUAGAUUGACAGUCGUUAGCCAAGGUAAGCUUGGUGCUACCUCUUUAUCUUUUUUGUUAUUUGCUUAUGAAGAAUUGUGAUUGAGAGAAGUAUUGUUGAAUUGAUAAUCGUAGAAUGAAUUAUGGAUUGGAUUAAGAUGGAAGUAGUAAGCCUUGGUGUUUUAUAGUUUGAUAAUUGAUUUUAGAUAGCAAGAGUACAGUCAAUUGUGACACUAACAAAUCCAAUUUAUAUGACCAAUCUUUCUCCGUAUUCGAACCCACCUCUAUUAAUUCAAUUGCUUUGAUCUAUUGAAGCUUGAACGCAACGAGAACAACAUUUUGGUGCCACUAUCGAGGAAAUGAUAACAAUAUAAAAUGUUAGAAAUUGAUUGUAUGGAAGAUGGAAUUAUAUAUUGAAUGAAAACGUGAAAAGAAUCAGUUUUAGGAUCACAAAUAUGUGAGUUAUAAUUCAAGGCAGUAUUGAUUUUGCCAGAAAGAAAGAAAGAUUAUGAGUGAUAAUCAUGGAGGGAGGAUUAUCAAAGAAUUAAUCGACAAAUAAAAGAAAGACAAGAGCAAUUAUGCAUAAGAAAUAUCCUACGAGAAUGACAAAAAAGAAUUGCAGGUCCAAGAAAAAUCAAAGGAAGAAAAAUUCAGAUUCAAAUAGUAAGGAGACCAUUGAUAAUACCAAUGGUCGCGGAAGUGCCACAAGUACCAAUUCCAGUACAAAUGGAAGCAGUAGGAGACUGAACUAAAAGUGUGGCACCAUUAUCUAUUUUUAGUGGUUAGUCGGGCUCUGAUCUCGAUCACCAUAUAUUCCAAUUCUUGACAGCUUGCAUGCCUAAUAAUGAUAGAAUUGAAGAUAUUUGGUUGAGAUGGUUGCCAGCAACUUUAAAAGAUAAAGCUUUUGAAUGGUAUAUUUGGCAACCAAUGGGUAGAUUUUUCAAUUGAGAGGCCUUGAGGAAUGCCUUCCUAACCUAUUUUAGACCAAUUAGAUUUGAAGAUUGGCUUUGAGAAAGUUUUAUGAAUAGCAGGAUGUUUGUGGAGGAAUUCGUAGAGUCCUAUUAUGGCUGGAUCGCGGAUAUACUUCAUAAAUGGUCAAAUAAUCAAAUGCCACAUGCAUUUAUAUUGUCAAUAUUAAUUAAUGAUUUGCAUCUACCACAAUUGAAAAUGUUUGUAAAAGAGGCUUGAUCAGCUACUGUAGAUGCAUCGUUGGCACGAGCAAAGGUGUGAGAAGAAUGUCAUUAUGACCAAUUAUUAACAGUGGAGGCCACGAUGAUUCCAAGUUCAGGAAGCCAACAAAUACAACCGGGAAAUGUGUUGAUGGGUAAUUAUCUACAAAUUGUUGCCUCCAAUGUAAAGAAUAUUAUAUUGCAACAAUCAAUUAAUACUACACCACUCGAAGCAAUAGUGCCAGUAACGAUGACACCUUAUUUUACAUCGCCAACCUAUCAAUAACCGGAGUUGUUCACAAAUGCGACUGUUAAAGAUCCAAAUGAAGCCUUGUUAUUAAAUCUAACAAAGAAAAUGGAAGAAUUGGUUAUGAAUUUGGCUAAAGACAAGGAGAAACGACAUAAGCCUUCUAAUAAGAGACUUAAUGUAUGGUGUAAUAAUUGUAAGAGACAAGGUCAUUUUGAUGCGGAAUAUCUAUCACCUAGACAAACGGGUACUUAAUGUAUAUUUUACAGAGGAAAGUACCCUACCCAAAAUUACUGGCAUUUAUAAAGGCAACAACAAUUCAGUAAUUACACCAUGAUCCCACCGACUUAGUGGAAAGUCAAUCAAGUUCAAACGGAAUAUACGUAUGGAUAGAAUGAAAAUCGAUCUAAUUGACAAAAUCGAGCAUUCAAUAAUUUUCAAAGUUCCAAUUUUAAUCAGGGGUUUGCAUCAAAUGUCCAAAAUUUAUUAGUGAAAAGUUGAAAUGUGGAGAUUACGAGUUAUUGUGAAGAUAAAAGUAAAAAUAAAAUAAGAGGGAUAAAAGCGAAGGUACCUUGACAACGCCAAGGAUUGAAGGCAGCAACCCCCUUCUACUCCAAAAUUCGCCAAAAAUUAUAAUUAGCUCCAAAUUGAAUGAUUUGUAGGUUGUUGCAAGGUUAACUUAAAGACGCUCCUGCUCCAAUAAAUCUCAUUGCAAUCUAGUGAUCCAGUCGUGAGAAUUGCUUCUUUGAAGUUGAGUGACCCAAACUGCCGCGGUGACCAACCCCUUUCACUUAGAAAUUCGCUAAAAAUUCAAAUUGUCUUCAAAUCCAGCGAAACUUGUGCCUUUCAAAGCUUAGCUUAUAAAUCUUGAUGUUUUAAAAUUUUUAAAUGAAUCCAGUUAUCAAGCACUGAGAAAUUCCUUCCCAAACUCGAUUAAUCCAAACUGCAAAGGCAGUCGACCCCCUCAUACUCAAAAUUUCAUCAAAAACUCAGUUCAACUCCAAAUGGAGCGAGCCUUAUCUUGUUGGAAAGCUUAUAACAAAAUAUACAACAAAAAAAAAUAAAAUAGGAACUAAAACAAUGAAAUGACUGAUGGAGGCAAAUCUGAGGCUCUUGAAACCCUUGGAGUAAUUGAGAGGCCAAGGGAGCUAUUCAUCACAAUGAAACGUGUUUUAAGACCCUAUGAUUAUCAUUCACAACUCGAAAUCCAUGCACACUCACCCAAAAAAUUCACAAUGAGAUUUAAAAUCUAAAUGAAAUUAAAAUUAGGGUUUUUGGCCAAAUUUUAGCAUGGCUUCGUCCUUCACCAAAAGAGGAGAGAGAGAGGGCUUGGAAAACCAAGCCUCUCUUAUACAAUUGAGUGGAGGCUUGUAGAAGGGUGGCUACAUCUCCACCCUUGAUUUUUCAGAUCCCUAGUCUAGAUCUAUGGCCUUCAUUCAUCCAAGAGCCAGUCUCGUUAUUAAGGCUGAUGGCCCUUGUAAGUGGUCAAGAAGGCAUUUUUUUUGUAAAUCUAACUUCACUAUUGUGUUCAAAACACCUUUUUAAGCUAAGAUCGACUACUCACAUGCCCCAAUCCAUGCUCAAUUAUAAUUUCUAUGGAAGUUUUUACUUACAAGGAUCUUGGCAAUUUUUUUGUGAAAUUUUUCAAAAUGAGAAUUUCAUCGCUUCUCUUGUAUUUUGAAGGAGAGGUUGCUGAUCUUGUUUUCUUCACUCCACGAGGUAAAUCCGGUGCCACCAUUGCAUUAAAGAGACUCCCAUUAAGUAGAAGAACCACCAUGCCGCUUAAAUUUGCCGAAUUUGGAGGAAAAAUCCAAAAUUACCAUUGCUAACUUCCCUAAAUCUUUUAGAGAAUUAUAAUUCCAACCCCUAAAUCAUGUGGAUGAUUAUAGACGUACUCAUUGGCUUUUAGUUAACCCUUAUAGUAAUGACUGACAACCUCUAAAUUAUUAAACUAACUGAGUUGUUAUUCUAAUUUUCUAACUCUUGUCACUUUAGUCCUAAUUAAUCAAAUAUGGAAUUUCUUUAAAUUUGGAAUAGUGUCAAUUUGGUGUGCCUUCUGGUAAACUGUUGGAUCAUAUAGUUUUGAUGGCAAGCAUUGCUACAGAUCCAGAUAAAAUAAAGAUUAUAGUAGAAUUAAAGCAAUCAGACACUGUUACGGGUGUUUGAGCAUUUGUCGGCCAUGUCAGUUAUUAUCGGUGAUUUAUCUAUCUAUUCGUAGUUAUAUGCCUUCCCUUGACAAAUCUCUUGAAGAAACCACCAAUCGAUAAGACUAGUCCAUUUUGGACAAAAGAAUGUAAAAUUGCAUUCGAAACAUUGAAACAAAAAUUUGUUUCAGCACCAAUAUUGGUGGCACGUUAUUACACAAAACCAUUUCAAGUUUAUGUGGAUGCAUCUAAUGUCACGAUUGGUUGUGUGCUAAGCCAAAAAGAUGACCAGGGUUUUGAUCACCCUAUUUAAUAUGUAAUUUGUCAAUUGGUAGCAACUGAAAGAAAUUAUACAAUAACCGAACGAGAAGCAUUGGAGAUGAUUUUUUCCAUACAAAAGUUUCGAUAUUAUCUUCUUGGUUAUAAUUUUUUUUUCCAUGUCGAUUAUGAUGCUUUAAAAUAUAUGAUUAAUAAGCCUCAUUUAAGUGGUCGUAUUGCACGAUGGGUUCUACUCUUGCACGAAUUUGACAUUAUUAUUCAAGUAAGACCAGAAAAAUCACAUUCCAAUGCAGACCAUUUAUCUCAGUUAUCCAAUAUAUUAGAUAAUGAACCCAUUAACAAUGCACUACUUCAUGCGGAUUUGUUUGCGGUAGAUGUAAUUACUCUGAAGUAUAGUAUAAUAAUUCAAUACUUGACAUUUCAAACCUUUCUACCUAAUUUCAAUGAAAAGCUUAAACAACGCUUAAUAUUAAAAUGUGCACCUUAUACAAUAAUUGGAGAAGCUUUAUAUAAACAAGGCAAGGAUGGAGUUUUGUGAUGCUAUAUUUAUUAGACUGAAGUGUGUACUAUAUUAGAAGGGUGUUACUUAGACAAUUGUGGUGGACAUUUGCGGGGAAUAGCACGACUGGUAGAGCUUUACAGGGUGGUUAUUGGUGGCCAACAAUGUUUGCAGAUGUCCACCAAUUUGUCCGUCAUUGUGAUCCAUGUCAGAGAAUGGAUCAACCUACUGGAACUUCAACAAUGCCAUUGGUAUCAAUUCUGGCUUAUGUGCCUUUUAAAAAAUGGGGAAUUGAUUUUGUAGGACUAAUUGUAUCAACUUUGAGAAAUAGAUAAAAAUAAUAUAUACUGAUAGCAAUGGCUUACGUAACAAAAUGGACUGAAGCUGUAGCUAUGAAAACCAAUAGUGCAAGUACAAUAGCAACCUUUUUGUAUAAAAAUAUUAUUACACGGUUCGAUUGUCUACGAGAAUUGCUUAGUGAUUGUGGAACUCAUUUUAUAAAUAGUACAAUCGAAGCACUCAUGGCUAAAUAUGAGAUAAAAUAUCGAAAGACUACACCAUAUCAUCCUAGAGCCAAUGGACAAACGAAAAAAACUAAUGGAAUUUUAUAUAAAAUCUUAACAAAAACAGUUUUAGGAGCAGGAACAAAUUAGGACACUAAGUUGUUUGCAGCUUUAUGGGCAUACCGUUGUUGUACUGUAAUUACUUACAGUAUGUAAAAAUUAGUGAAAACAUGUAAUAUGUUUAUAAGUCUUAAUGUGAGUUAGAAUAGUUAGUAUGUUAAUUUAAAAUGAAUUGAAAUAAGAAAAAUUAUUUGGAAGUUAAUCUAGUUUGAUCAUAGAGUUUAUAUUAUAUAGGAUUUAGAUAGUUAGUAUAAAGAUUAAGGGAAGGGAGGAGUUAAAAGAUGAAAAUAUAACUAGAAGGAGGCUUAUUGGGAAGGAUGAAAGUAAGGCAUGGUUGGAUGAAGGCAAGGGGUGAAGAACUUCAUCCCUAUUGGUCGAAAACCAUGCCCAAUGGGCUUUGAGGAGGCUGCCCGAGGCCAUAUUAGGAAUUAGGGUUCCUCUUUCGAGGCCAUUCGAGCUUUUGAGGCUAGAGUCAGAAGGUUUAGGGUUUUGGGUAUAAUUUGGGUGAAAAUUUUGUGUGAUUUCGAGUUUUUAUGGAAAAGAUAUGAAUGUUCAAAGAUAAGGUGUCAAUUUCGUACCUACUGUCACUUCUUUUGGGCAUCACAUACGAAUACGGAGAGCAUGUCACGGACAUACAUAUAAUUACGUAUAUGAAUAGAUAAAAGUAUGUAAAAGUAGAUAAAAGUAGGUUAAUUGUGUAAUAUCUUCUAGAGAAGCUUCUUAGAAGCUUCAUAGACGCUGCUUUGACUUUAUUGGAGUCUAUAGUUGACUUUUAGGCUAGAAACUUGGUCAACAAGUUAGCCAUGUGCCACACAUGUUGGAAGCUUAAAGAACAAGCUAACUACGGGUCCAUCCAUAGAAAACUUGCCUUGUAAGCAAAGGCAUGUGGCCUAGAAAGUCAACAUAUAUUGGAGGUCUUAUAGAACAUCGCCAUGUGGCUUCUAGUUAGAUAGUAUAUAUAGAGGCAAGAGUGAAGCCCUCUUCACUCUUGUCAACUCCUUUCUUGCUUCUAGUCUAGUUUCAAGGGUCUCUAGUUUUCUUGUAUUUUGGCAAUAGCCAUUCCAGUUUCUUUCUUAAUAUACAUAUUUCUAUUUUGUCCUAUUUCUUUUUUGAGAAAAGUCUCACUUACUCUUUAGCUUUCAUCGAGUUCUUGUCCUUGAUAGAUUGACAAGAGUACACUUACAAUAUCAGAGCUUUGUCUUUUCUUGAUUAAGAGUGGAUUACCCCUUUUUCUUGAUAAGACAUAAGCGCAUUAGAAGUUGCGGAUUACCCUCUUUUAAACUGAUAUUGUUCUUAGUAUUUUCUUUGUUAUCAAUUCCUCUCUUCUAUUUGUUUUGAGCGUUAUUAGACAUCUUCUCUUUUCUAAGUGCUACUAUGGCAGAGCUUGUUGAAAUGAAGAGUACAAUGGCACAGAUGCAAGAACAAUUGAGGGAGUUAAUGCUUGCGAUGCAUCAACUCAAUUUACCACCACAAGGAGCAACAAGAACGGUAGGAAGUGAAGAUAUAGAGAUGAUUGGGGCUGCUUCAACAUCUGCACCAAACCAUGUCCCUUCUCCCAGAAUGGAACACCCUUCGAGUGUUAGAGAACCGAGAGUUGCCUUGCCCGAGAAGUUUGAUGGUACCAGAUCCAAGUUUCGAGGAUUCAUCAAUCAGGUCCAACUAGUGAUUGAACUUCAACCCCAGAGCUAUCCAACUCCAGGGUCACAAGUUAGAUUCAUUGGUACACUUCUUUCAGGUUCAGCAUUGUCAUGGUUUUCAUCUUUUCUUGAACGACGAGAUCCAAUAUUGGAUAAUCUGGAGGCUUUUUUGGCGGAGUUUCGAUCCAUGUUUGAAGAACAUGAUGCAAUUCGUGUUGCAACCAACAAGAUCCGUAUUUUGCGACAAGGCAAUCGAUCAGUAACAUUAUAUGCUUCGCAAUUUCGACAACUUGCAACUGAUAUCAAGUGGGAUGAUGCCGCACUUGUGAGUCAAUUUCUCUACGGAUUACAAUAUGAGGUAUAGAAAUUGAUGCUUAAUUUACCUGAUCCUCAAACAUUGAGUCAAGCAAUUGACUUUGCUGUGAAGUGCGACAAUCGACUUUUUGAAUUUCGAUCCGAGAGUCGCACAAGUAGGCCUCAACGUUACUACAAUUCAAUGGCAACACCGACGUCUCCUCAACACAUACCUUCAGAAGUAGAGGAUAUGCAAAUUGAUGCGGUACGUUUCAAACCUCUUACUGAGCAAGAAAAGUCUCGUCGUCGACAAGAAGGAUUGUGCUUAUAUUGUGGAGAACCUAAGCACACUGCUCAACAUUGUCCAAAGAAGCGACGUAACUACAAAAUGAGGAGUACGGCUGUCAAAGAAGACAGUAUGUCGGAAAACGAGUACAUCCAGCUACAAUAGGGACCGUGCGGCUGGAACCUUGUACAACUUCUAAUGAAGGUCCUAUCCUCUCCUCAGAACCAUCUCCUUGUUUUAUAAUAGAUGUGCGUUUAGGACCUAAUAAUUACAAAGCCUCUGCCUUGAUAGAUUCAGGAGCCUCAGCUUGUUUUUUAGAUGAAGAAUUUGCUAGAUGUCAUAGAAUAUCAUUAAUACAAAAAACUAAACCUGUACACGUAGAAGUCAUAGAAAAUCGUCCGUCGUCUUCUAGAGAUAUAACUCACGAAAUAAGUCCUGUAGAUGUAGUAAUAAAUGGUCAUAGUAGUUGCGUAAUUUUUAAUAUAAUUAGAUCUCCCUCUAAUCCAGUAAUAUUAGGCUUAUCAUGGUUAGAAAAGUAUAAUCCUCGAAUAGAUUGGAUUUCUCGUAAACUUGAUUUUCCUCAGAGCAUUAGUAACAGUUCUAUUAAUCAAGUAAAAAACCAUGAGUCUAGUAUAGUAAAACCCACACUUAUAGGUGCAAAAGCAUUUAUACAUGCAGCAAAAGAAGGAUCAACUUUUGCUAUUUAUGCUGCACCUAUUUCUGAAAGCGUAAAGACUUCAAGUGGCAUUCCAAGUCAAUAUCAGGAUUAUCAAGACGUUUUUGAGAAAAAGAAUGCAGAUAUUCUUCCUGAGCAUCGCCCAUACGAUUGUUCAAUCGAUCUCAAGGAAGGAACUCAGCCACCAUUUGGACCAAUUUACAGUUUAUCGCAAGAUGAGUUGGCUGAACUCAAGACAUAUAUUGACGAGAAUUUAGCGAAGAAUUUCAUACGCCAUUCAAAAUCUCCAGCAGGAGCUCCAAUUUUAUUCGUAAAGAAAAAAGAUGGAUCUUUACAAAUGUGUGUUGACUAUCGAGGACUCAACAAGAUCACAAUCAAGAACAGGUAUCCAUUACCUUUGAUAUCAGGACUCCUUGACCAGUUAAAUCAAGCUAAGAUCUAUACAAAAAUAGAUCUAAGAGGAGCAUAUAAUCUAGUACGGAUCAAAGAAGGAGAUGAAUGGAAGACUGCGUUUCGAACCAGGUACGGACACUUUGAAUACAAUGUCAUGCCUUUUGGACUCACGAAUGCACCAGCUGCUUUUCAACAUCUCAUGAAUGAUGUAUUUCGUGAAUUCUUAGACAAUUUUGUCGUCUGCUACCUAGACGAUAUCCUGAUUUAUUCUAAGAAUGUUGAAGAACAUGAAAUACAUGUUCGUCAAGUAUUACAAAAACUUAGAGAUGCAGGAUUGUACGCCAAGAUAGAAAAGUGUGUAUUUCACACUACUCAAGUUGACUUUUUAGGAUACAUCAUUUCAAAUGAUGGUCUUAUGAUGGAUUCUAAGAAUGUCCAAACAAUCAUGGAUUGGAAGAUUCCAAAGACUGUAAGAGAUGUCCAAUGUUUCCUGGGAUUUGCCAAUUACUAUCGGAUCUUCAUCAAAGACUUCUCACGAGUUGCAGCUCCACUUACACGCUUGACUAGUAAAGAUAAAUUCCAAUGGAAUCAAGAAGCGGAAGCAGCAUUUGAAGCCUUGAAGACAUCGUUUGUCUCUGCACCAGUCUUAUAUCGUGUUGAUUUUUCCAAGGUAUUUUUUAUGGAAACAGACGCAUCGGAUUUUGCCUUGGGUGCAGUUUUAUCACAAAUGGGAACAGAUGACAAACUUCAUCUGAUAGCUUUUCAUUCAAGAAAAUUUUUAGCAGCCGAGAUCAAUUAUGAGAUCCACGAUAAAGAACUUCUUGCAAUCGUGGAUUCUUUUCAAGAAUGGCGUCAUUAUCUAGAAGGUGCUUCUAGUCCAGUCAUUGUGUAUACAGAUCACAAGAACCUCGAGUAUUUCAUGUUAGUACGCGUGUUGAAUCGUCGUCAAGCUCGUUGGAGUAUGUCUUUGUCAAGAUUCGACUUCAUUAUCACUUAUCGGCCAGGAAAACAACAAGGUUUGUCUGAUGCCCUGUCUAGACGUUCUUAUUUUGUACCAAAAGAAGGAGAUGCAGCUUUUGAGCAACAAAGAACAGUCCUCUUGAAACCGGAGCAAUUUCAUCUCCGAGCAGUGAAAUCAACACUGACUGUUGAUUCAACUUUUCUCAAGCAAAUCCAGUCCAGUAUGUCCUCAGACCCUCUUGUUCAUGAUAUCGAGAAUAAUUCUUCCAAGUCUCAUGAUUCUUCUAAGUUCGAGUUCAAGAAUAAUCUAUUAUAUUUUGAAGGACGCCUAUAUGUUCCAGAAGGAAAAGCACGUUUGCGUGUUCUUCAAGCACGUCAUAACUUUCCAGCAGCAGGUCACUUUGGAUAUAAUAAGACUCUGGAACUCAUAUCAAGAGAUUUUUGGUGGCCACAAAUGUGGAAGUCAGUCAAAGACUUUGUACAAUCAUGUGAUAUUUGUUCAAGAUCAAAAAUUCCUCGACAUCGACCUUACGGACUUCUUCAGCCAUUACCUAUACCAGAACAACCAUGGUCUUCUGUUUCUAUGGAUUUCAUCACAGAUCUUCCAAACUCAAGAUCUUAUGAUUCUAUAUUUGUGAUAGUAGAUCGUUUCACCAAGAUGGCACAUUUUAUGCCAUGUACAAAAUCUAUCACAGGUGAAGAAACAGCUAAGCUUUUCAUUGAUAAUAUCUAUCGCUAUCAUGGAUUACUUAAAGAUAUCAUAUCGGAUAGGGGAACUCAAUUUGUGUCGAGAUUCUGGAGGACUCUUUUCAAGAUUUUAAAAGUGGACAUAAAGCUAUCUUCAGCUUUCCAUCCUCAAACUGAUGGACAAACAGAGCGCGUAAACCAAGUCUUGGAACAGUAUUUAAGGUGUACCAUCAACUACCAACAAGAUGAUUGGACAAUCCUUCUGCCAUUGGCAGAGUUUGCUUAUAAUAAUACAGUACAUUCUUCCACGCAACAAACACCUUUCUUUGCCAAUUAUGGCUAUCAUCCACGACUUGAUACUUUUGAUUUUUCAAAAGUUGAUAAUCCUGCAGCAGAAGAUAUGGCAAAUCGGUUGUCAGAGUUACAUGCAAUAAUGAAGGCGCAGUUGAAGAAAGCUCAAGAACGACAAAAGAUAAAUGCAGAUGUAUAUCGUAAAGAGCAACCACAACUCAACGUGGGUGAUAAGGUAUGGCUACUUCGUCGCAAUAUCAAGACCACUCGACCUUGUGACAAAUUGGACUAUCGUAGGCUUGGCCCCUUUUCUGUUUCUGAACAGAUCAACCCAGUUGCAUAUCGGUUACAUCUACCGGAGUCAAUGAAGAUCCAUCCUGUAUUCCACGUGUCUCUUCUUGAACCAUAUAAGAGAGUGGAUAUACAAGGAAGAAGACAAAUGCCACCGCCUCCUAUAGAAGUAGAUAAUAAUGAAGAAUUUGAGGUGGAAGAGAUAUUAGACUCAAGGCGGCGCCGAAAUAAGCUGGAAUAUCUUGUUCAUUGGCGCGGAUAUGAUAUUAGUGAGCGCACAUGGGAGCCAUCCAGGAAUCUAGCAAAUGCAUCAGCUAAAGUCAAAGUUUUUCAUCAACGACAUCCAUCAAAACCAAGAUGAAAACCUCUCUUAUAAAAGAGACAAGAUUGAGGCAAGAUAACAUUCAAUUUCCUAUCCUUGUUUGUAACUUCUUUGCAUUUGUGACGCUAAUUAGAUGGAGAGCCAACAACUAGUGGAUUCAACUCAAGAACCUUCGUUUGCUGACUUAUCGGAUGAGACAUUGCGAUUGUCACAACCUUCAAGACGACGCAACCGAGAUGAAGAUCCUCAAGAACGACAUGUUCUUCCUCGAAUAGAUGGUGAGAUACAACGCAUUUGGUAUCACGACCUUGGAAGAGAUUCUCGAUGUUUGGUGAUAUUAUUGGAGAUAGGAACGACUCCUGAUGGUGUUUCAAAUGUAUUAUUUGAAGGAAGUUAUGAAGGCCUCAACAGUGAUCAAAUAACAGGGUGGUCUUCUCGCCCUGGAAUAGGACACUAUCGAUGGCUAAGAGGACCCAUCAACUAUCUUCGAAGAGAACAAAGAUCAGAGUAUGUAGCAAAUACAAUUCGCCGCAUAUUAGAUUUUCUCAAUAUAUAAUCACCGCUCCUCGUGGAACUCGUCCCUAGAAGGGGGGGUAAUGUCACGGACAUACAUAUAAUUACCUAUAUGAAUAGAUAAAAGUAUGUAAAAGUAGAUAAAAGUAGGUUAAUUGUGUAAUAUCUUCUAGAGAAGCUUCUUAGAAGCUUCAUAGACGCUGCUUUGACUUUAUUGGAAUCUAUAGUUGACUUUUAGGCUAGAAACUUGGUCAACAAGUUAGCCAUGUGCCACACAUGUUGGAAGCUUAAAGAACAAGCUAACUACGUGGUCCAUCCAUAGAAAACUUGCCUUGUAAGCAAAGGCAUGUGGCCUAGAAAGUCAACAUAUAUUGGAGGUCUUAUAGAACAUCGCCAUGUGGCUUCUAGUUAGAUAGUAUAUAUAGAGGCAAGAGUGAAGCCCUCUUCACUCUUGUCAACUCCUUUCUUGCUUCUAGUCUAGUUUCAAGGGUCUCUAGUUUUCUUGUAUUUUGGCAAUAGCCAUUCCAGUUUCUUUCUUAAUAUACAUAUUUCUAUUUUGUCCUAUUUCUUUUUUGAGAAAAGUCUCACUUACUCUUUAGCUUUCAUCGAGUUCUUGUCCUUGACAGAGCAACGGAAGAUCGACGACUAGAUUUGGAGGAAGCAUUUUCUCGGCUACACAUUCUACUUACUGUAUAGUGAAUUCUAAGAUUGGGUGAAGGAGUUAUGAGGCGUUGAAGACAGCACUUGUAAUUUGAAGGCAGUAAGUAUAUCGUUUUGUUGCUAGUUAUGGGUGAAGCCAUAUCUUGAGUUUCUGGACGAAUUUUUGGCUCAAAAUUUCCACAAGUGUGUGUAAUUGGGUUAAAAAGCUUUAGAUCAAAGUUUCAUAGUAUUUGAAUAAUUAAUUUGUGAGAUAUAAAGGAAGUUGUACACGGGUGUAAAAAAGCUAGGGUUUGAAGCUACAGUUAGGGUUUUCAAGAUAUCACAAAAUCCAAGACGAAUUUACGGUUGAAUUUUGGUGUGGUAGUUGCUAAAGAUAUAUCAGUACUCUAUGUAAAAUUUGGAGUUGUUUAGACGGUUAGAUCGUAAGUUAUGAGCUGUUGAACUUCAGAAAAAAUUCCUCAUAAGGAUAUAUAAGUUUUUUAUAACACCUUAUCAAGUAUUUUGGUGUUCUUUGGAUUUUAAGGCUUGUAUAUUGAUUUAAUUGCUCCAAAAGAGAGGAGUUUAUAUAUAUAAAAUUGUUACCCUUAUAUUUCAAACUUGAUUGAGUAUUUAGUGACAGCCAGAAGCCCAGCGCUUUCUUGAGGCAAACUCUCUCUACCUCGACAUAUUUGGUGCUUCCACUGAGAGAGCCUUAAGGCACUAAAAUUCUCAAUAAGUUAGAAUGGGGGAUCAAGUUCCAGGGUUUGGAUUACCAAGUGGAGUAGGUGCUCAUGAUUUAUUCAGGGCAUUUGCUCAAUUUAUGGAAGAAAGGUAACAGGUGCAUGGGGAGGAUAAGAAUACCACCAAAGCUUUACAAGUAGUGGUGGAUAAGGUUGGGAGGUUUGAUGGGAGGAACAUCACUAAGUUCCUCAGGGUUCAUACAUGUGAAAUGGAAGUGCAUCAGGUUUCAGAAGUAAAGAUGAUUUCUACCUUUGAUUUGGUAGUGGUACCAGAAAUCAGAGAGAGGGUGCAAGAGUUGCAUACUGAGACUAUAUCAUGGAAGAAAUUUGAAGAACUCUUGAAAGAUGAGUUUUUUGAGGAGGAUUCAGAAAGAAUGACAAAACAAACUUUUUUGGAUAGGAUAUAGCAAAGGCCAGGGAAUCAAAUGGCUCCCAAUGAAUUAAUCAGGGAAUUUGAGGCUAAGUUUGGACAGUUACCACGACAAGAGAGGUAGCUUUUGGAAACAAGGAAGAGUGGAUUGUUUUUACAAGCAGCUGAUGAACAUUUGGAGGAUAAGCUACUCUUUUAUCUAGCAGACAAGACAUCUGAGAGUGGUUUUACUAAUGAUUGGAAGCUAGUAAAAGAGACAGUGGGGCUUUUGGCUAGGCAACAAAAGAUUAAGACUCGUGGAUUAUUACCAAGGUUGGAGCCAAUGCGUGCAUCUCAAAAUCUAAUGCCACCUCAAAACAGAAUCAAGACUGUUAAGGAUGGUACUCUUGAAGAACUAAUUAAGGGCAUACAAGACUUGAAGGUGGAAAUGAUUGAAUUGAAGAAAUCCCAGAUGGCAAGCUCAUCAAAGACAAUUGAAGGCUCAAAGAGAUUUAUAGAAAGAUGUAUGUGGUGUGACAAUCAAAACCAUAAGCGUGGUGAGUGUGAUAGCUAUAAGGCUGCAAUCAAGGAUGGUAUUGUGUAUUUCAAAGAGGGUAGGAUAAGACUCACAGGGUCAGAUGAGCCUCUAAAGACUAAUUUUGGGAAGGGUGGCAUGAAAAAAUUAGUAGAGGAGCAAACAUCAAAGAAUAGUGCCAUAAAAGGGGAAGGAGCUGAGUCUUAUUCUAUUACAGUUGAACAAAAGGGAGUUAAGGCUGUUUCUUUGCCAACUAAAGGAGUCAUGAUGAGGGGAGCUGAAGCUAUCAGAAAGAAAACUGGGUGGAAUGAUCCAGUUGAUGCUAUUAGCAUUAAAGCAGAUUUGUGUGGAGACAAGCAUGAUGAUGAUAUGCAUGAUGCUAUGGUUGAGGAAAAAAGAGGUAGAACUAUUCAUGAAGAGGAUGUUAUUGAGCCUGAAAACAAGAGGAGGUCUCCAAGAAAUAAAGAAGCUUCUAAGGAGCAAAAAACUGAGAAGGUAUCUUCUUCUACUCAUCAUGGUAGUGCACCAUUACCAAAAGAGUGGUGGGAGAAGGACAAAGAAAAGGAGAAAGAAGAUACAAGCAAACCUAAAGGUAAAACUCCUGCUUAUAAACUUCAAUCUGAGAUUGAAUCAUCUACAGAUAUGAAGAGUAUUUUAGAAGAGAAGAUCUUGGAUGCAAAGAUUGAAUUCACUCUAAGAGAGGCUCUAGGCAUAGCCAAGAAGGAUUUUCAUGAAUUAAUCAUCAAUGUGAUAAAGAAGAAGAGGCAAAUGAUAGCAGAAGCUAUUAUGGUAGAGGCAUUGGAUACUUGGAUAACUGUGGAUGAAGAAGAAGAGAUAGGACAGGUAUUUGCACAAUUUACAAUGCCUGAAACUAGAAAUAAGGUUGAUAUGGAAAACAAGGUUUCAUUUAAACAUGUUGAAGGUAAAAGAGAGCAUCAAGUGGAAUGCACACCUUUGGGAUUUACAGGGAUAAGGAAGGAUGCACAAGAAGUAAGUGUUAAUACUUGCUCCAAAUGUGAAAAUGAGGGAAUAGAGAGUAGUAGUUAUUCAGUUCCUUAUUGGGCUAGAGCUACUACAGAAACAUAUGUGAGAUUGGGGGACUUUAAAGAUCCAAUUUUGGCCCUGGUUGAUCAUGGAUCUGAAAUCAACAUCAUGUCAAGGAAGAUAUAUGAGAAGAAUAAGUGGCCAAUUGAUAUCAACCAUGGUUGGGUAAUCAGAGCUGCAAACAAUCAACAAGGUGAUUUACAUGGAACUUAUCCAGCUGUAAAGACUAGAAUUGGAGAUGUAGAAGUGGAACAAAAUUUCUUUGUGUAAAACUCUGCUACAUAUCCGGUAAUACUUGGUCAACCUUAUAUUACAGCUGCUAGAAUGGAGACUAGAGUCUUGAAUGAUGGUUCACAUUAUGCCAGAAUUCAAAAUUGGGAUGGGAGAAAAGUUGUGCAAUUUAUUACUGUGAAACCUAUCCAUGAGAGAUACAGAGAAUAAUUAAGAGGGAUGCCCUUGGAGCCAGGAAAUAACUUUGUGGAUUUCUAAAAAGCACCCUUGUAAGAUAGGGGCACAUGGGUGCAAAUGAUUCAUCUACAAACCCCAGUGUAGAUAGUAUGAGUUUUGGAUUUUUGAACUUAUCUAGUAAUGGAUUUGUGAGUGUUCAAAAGGUUAAAGAUUUAGAUUCUAUAAAUAAAAAAAAUGGUAAAGAAACAAGAGAAGAACUUAAAAAGAGUGGGUUUAGUUUCAAGUGAUGAAGCCAUAGUUGGAGUAAUAGAAGAAAUAGGUUUGGAAGAUGAUUUGGUAAAGGUUUUGGAGAAUCUGGCUAUAAACAUAGAUGGAGAUGCUAUAGUAGAAAUAUAUUCAAGAAGGACUUAUGAAGGAUUAGAAAGGAUGGUAGCAAAUGGUGGACUUGCUACAAACUAUGGGUUGAAGCAUGAGGCUAGAGUACAAACUAAAUAUAAAACUGUGGCAAGAAAGGUAAAGCCUGUAGCUACACAAUUACCAGUUGAUAAUAUGGAGCAUAUUAAACAAGCAGUUAUGGAGCCAAGUCUAAGAGAGAGGCGUCAAAUUGGACAUCAAUUUAUACAAGAAUCAUUAGCUAAGUUGAAGAUUGGAGGGGGUGACUUCUUAACAUCAACGGAGGAAGAUAUGUUUCAAGAAAUGCUUAUUAGACAUGGUAAGGCAUUUGCCUUAACUCUUGAUGAAAUCAGAUGUGUGGAUCCUAGUAUUAUAGUACCUAUGGUAAUCUUUACAGUGCCACAUGUUCUAUGGGAUUUAAAGCCUAUACCUGUGCCUAGAGCUUUACUUCCAAAAUUGAUAGAAUUAUUAAAGAGAAGGUGAAGAUGGGUAUUUUGGAACCUUCAAUUGCUCCCUAUUCUAAUAGAUGGUUCACAGUACCCAAGAAGUCACAGGCAUUAAGGUUUAUUCAGGAUAUACAACUUGCAAACAGGGUGACUAUUCGAAAUAUGGGAUCAGGUCCCAUAGUAGAUGAAGUGGCUGAACAAUUUGCAGGUCAUGCCAUUUAUUCUAUUGGAGACUUAUAUUCUGGAUAUGACCAAUUUCAAUUGGCUAAAGAGAGUAGAGAUUUAACUACCAUGAAGACUCCUUUGGGUUUAAUGAGGAUGUGUACGCUACCUCAAGGUGCAACCAACUCAGUGGCUCAUAUGCAAAAUGCUAUGAACCAAAUAUUAAAAGAAUUUGUACCUGAGAAAACCAUUCCAUUUCUAGAUGAUAUACCUAUAAAAGAAGAUAAAAAAGAAGACAAGGAUGAGACUACGGAGGUUGAAGGUUGUAGAAAGUUUGUGAAGAAACAUAUUGAAGAUGUGGCUCAGAUAUUGGAGAGAUUGGAGUCAGUUAAUCUCACGUUAUCUUUAGAGAAAUCAAGCUUUGGAGUUGAUGAGAUUCUAGUGGUGGGGCACAUGUGUGGCAGGUAUGGUAGGAAACCAAAUCCUGAUAAGAUUGAUGCUAUAUCUAGAAUUGAGGCUUGUAAAAAUGUUACAGAAGACAGAAGGUUUUUAGGAGCAUGUGUAUUCUAUCACAUUUGGGUGCUACACUUUGCCCAUAUCUCAGAGCCACUAUAUAAGUUAUUAAGGAAGGGUAAGAAAUUUGUAUGGGAAGAAGAACAAGAAACAGCUAUGGAAAAUCUAAAAAAAAUGUUGAGUUCACCACCUUUGCUUAAACAAGUGGAUUAUCAAUGUGAAAGAUCAGUAGUUGUAACAGUGGAUACAAGCCCUAUAGCAAUUGGAUGGGCUAUUGGACAAAAUGAUGUAGAGGGAAGAAGAUUUAUUAUAAGGUUUGGAGCUAGGAUUCUUACAAAGAGACAAAGGGCUUAUCCACAAGUUAAAAGAGAGCUUUGGGGAGCGCUUACAGCAUUAAAGGCUGAGAGAAAUUAUUUGAUUGGAGCAAGUAUGGUUUUGGAAACAGAUUUUUUGCCAUUACUUUGAAUGAUAAUUAAAUGUACUACUCCAGAUAUUGCCAUGCUAAGAUGGAUAGCCUAUAUAAGGAUAUUAAACCCUGUUUUGGUACAUAUUACUGGUAAAGAGAACUUGGUGGCAGAUAUGUUGUCCAGAGCUAGAUAUACAUUUGAAGAAGAGAUGAUGGCAUAUGAAAGAGGUGAAGAUGAAGAAGAGAAGAAUUAUGGAAGUUCAUUUGCUACUGGUGGAAUGGAUUUUGGUGACAAGGUUCAAAAUUUCUAUGAAGGUACAUAUGAAGGCAAGUUGAAGGAUAUUGGAAUUUAUUUAAGCACAAUGAAAAAACAAGAAGGGUGGAUGGACAAAACCUUCAAAGAUAUUAGACACCAAUCCUAUGGUUAUAUACUCAGGGAUGGAUUUCUAUGGAAGAGGCCAAAAAGAGGUGACAAAAUCCCAUUGAGAGUUAUAGGAGAUCUUGAAACUAAAAUUAAGAUUUUAAGAGAAUAUCAUGAUACACUUUGGGCAGGACAUAGAGGAGUUUGGGCCACAUAUACUAAGAUCAAAGAAAGGUAUUGGUGGAAGGGUUUAUACAAAGAUGUAGAAGACUUUGUAAGUUCAUGCACAGAGUGCCAACUACAAUCUAAGAUUAGGUAUAGAGAUGGAUUACAUCCUACUUAUCCACCUUCUAUACAUUUUCAAUGGGUAAUUGAUUUGGUAGCUAUGCCUUCAGGAUUAUGGGAUAUGAAAUAUUUGAUUUUAGCAAGAGAAAAGUUAUCAAACUAUGUUGAAGGAAGAGCUUUGAGAACCAAGACCACGGAAGCAAUAUGCAGGUUUAUAUUAGAAGACAUCUUCAGUAGAUAUGGCUAUAUUGGGAGGAUGAGAGCUGAUAGAGGAGAAUUGGAUGCCAUAGAAGCAAGAGAUUUUUUCAAAAGGUAUGGAGUUCAAUUGAAGUUGACUACUUCUUAUAAUCCUGAAGCCAAUGGAAAGAGUGAAAGAGAUCAUCCUCCAAUUAUUUAUGCAUUGGUUAAGGCAUGUAAGGGUAAAUCAAUUCAAUGGCCUAAACUGCUUUCAUUUGCUUUAUGGGCUGAUAGAACUACUCAUAGUACUGUCACUAGUUAUAUGCCUAUGGAAUUAAUGCUAGGACAAAAACCUAUAAUGCCUGUUGAAGCAACCUAUCCUACAUGGAUGUUUUUGUCUUGGGAAGAUAACAUUAAUAGAGAAAGGUUAUUAGAGCUUCGAAUCCAACAGUUAAGAAGAUUACUUGAGGACCUACAAAUUGCAGCUGAGAGGUUAAAAGAAGCAAGAUUAAAAAAUAAAGAGAGGUUUGAUAAGACUCAUAGGUUAAGGCCUAAACCUAUAGAGAUUGGAGAUUGGGUUCUAGUUUAUGAUAGCAGCCUUGAGCAUCAACAUAGUACUGUAAAGAAAUUUGCAAAAAAAUAGAUUGGACCAUAUGUGGUGGUUAUAGUCCAUGAUAAUGCCACAUAUACCUUACGAAAGUUAGAUGGAGCUAUCAUUAGAAUUCCAAUAGCAAUGAAGAGGGUGAAGGCUUUCAAAAGAAGAGAUGGGCGGUUUCAAAUAGAAGAUCUUGAAGAAUUCUUACCUCAAUAUUUGGACCAAGAACAUGAAGAAGAAGACUCUAUGAGUGAUUCUAAGAAGUCUCAAGAGGAUGAAGAAGAGUAGUAUGUGGCACAUACCGGAGGAUGUGCAGGUUUGGAGGGGGUGGAUGUCGUACUGUAAUUACUUACAGUAUGUAAAAAUUAGUGAAAACAUGUAAUAAGUUUGUAAGUCUUAAUGUGAGUUAGAAUAGUUAGUAUGUUAAUUUAAAAUGAAUUGAAAUAAGAAAAAUUAUUUGGAAGUUAAUCUAGUUUGAUCAUAGAGUUUAUAUUAUAUAGGAUUUAGAUAGUUAGUAUAAAGAUUAAGGGAAGGGAGGAGUUAAAAGAUGAAAAUAUAACUAGAAGGAGGCUUAUUGGGAAGGAUGAAAGUAAGGCAUGGUUGGAUGAAGGCAAGGGGUGAAGAACUUCAUCCCUAUUGGUCGAAAACCAUGCCCAAUGGGCUUUGAGGGGGCUGCCCGAGGCCAUAUUAGGAAUUAGGGUUCCUCUUUCGAGGCCAUUCGAGCUUUUGAGGCUAGAGUCAGAAGGUUUAGGGUUUUGGGUAUAAUUUGGGUGAAGAUUUUGUGUGAUUUCGAGUUUUUAUGGAAAAGAUAUGAAUGUUCAAAGAUAAGGUGUCAAUUUCGUACCUACUGUCACUUCUUUUGGGCAUCACAUACGAAUACGGAGAGCAACGGAAGAUCGACGACUAGAUUUGGAGGAAGCAUUUUCUCGGCUACACAUUCUACUUACUGUAUAGUGAAUUCUAAGAUUGGGUGAAGGUGUUAUGAGGCGUUGAAGACAGCACUUGUACUUUGAAGGCAGUAAGUAUAUCGUUUUGUUGCUAGUUAUGGGUGAAGCCAUAUCUUGAGUUUCUGGACGAAUUUUUGGCUCAAAAUUUCCACAAGUGUGUGUAAUUGGGUUAAAAAGCUUUAGAUCAAAGUUUCAUAGUAUUUGAAUAAUUAAUUUGUGAGAUAUAAAGGAAGUUGUACACGGGUGUAAAAAAGCUAGGGUUUGAAGCUAUAGUUAGGGUUUUCAAGAUAUCACAAAAUCCAAGACGAAUUUACGGUUGAAUUUUGGUGUGGUAGUUGCUAAAGAUAUAUCAGUACUCUAUGUAAAAUUUGGAGUUGUUUAGACGGUUAGAUCGUAAGUUAUGAGCUGUUGAACUUCAGAAAAAAUUCCUCAUAAGGAUAUAUAAGUUUUUUAUAACACCUUAUCAAGUAUUUUGGUGUUCUUUGGAUUUUAAGGCUUGUAUAUUGAUGUAAUUGCUCCAAAGGAGAGGAGUUUAUAUAUAUAAAAUUGUUACCCUUAUAUUUCAAACUUGAUUGAGUAUUUAGUGACAGCCAGAAGCCCAGCGCUUUCUUGAGGCAAACUCUCUCUACCCCGACACUGUACUGCAUAUAAAAUUACUACCAAUGCUACCCCUUUCCAAUUGGUUUAUGGCCAGGAAGUAAUAUGAUCUAUUGAAUUGGAAGUCCAAAUUUUAUGAAUUGCUAUAGAUACUAGAUUAAGAGAUCAGGAUUCAUUACAAUACCGUUUAGAAGAAUUAGAAAAAUUUGAUGAAACUAGAGCCAAUGAAUUAAUGAUAAUAGAAACGAUACAAAAACAAAGGAAGACUUAUUAUGAUAGUAAGCUUAAACUAAAGGCUUUUAUGCCAAAUGAUUUGGUACUUCUUUAUGAUAGUCGAUUUAAAAAAUUUCCAAGAAAAUUUCAAGUUCGAUGAUAUGGGCCAUAUUGAGUUAUUGAAGGAUUUUCAAAUGGUUCAAUAUAAUUGGAAGAUUUUAUGGUACUAAGUUUACGACACGGAUCAAUGGCAAUCGGCUUAAACUUUACUAUCCUUAAACCCAGGAUGGGUUUAUGUUCCAAAAAGGGGAGUCGACUUUAUUGAUUGGACCAUAGUAAGAAGUAAGAGGAGGGCUCUUGAGAAGCAUCGUGUUUUCUUAUGUGGUUAAGGAGAAGAUGGCAAACAUGGUAUCUGAGACAGUAAGGAUGGAGAACGAUUGAAAGGAUCCGCAAGAACAGUUGCAAGUAGAGUUGCGGUGUUACAAAUUAAACUAGCUGCAUUAGUGAAGGAGGCGAAUAAAUUAGUGCAGAUCAAUACACCAGUUCCAGCGAUAAUACCUUUGGAGAUACCUUUGAAACCGACAGAAGAAUGGCAGAAGAUGUAAGAGGAGCAUGACAACCAAAUUGUCUGAUGUGAGUCUCAGGUAUGGAAAUUAGAUUUGUUGAAUGAAAUUCUGACGGCACGUUUGGAUGGAGAACCCUCGAAUAUUGAGACAGAUGAUAAAGAUAUAACACAGGAGAAUGUCACCAAUUCAAAGUGUGGUAAGCCAAUGCCAUUGACAGAAGAAGCCAACACUGCUAUGUCUUUAGAAGUUGAGGCUAAAUAAUGUUUGCGAGGAAGCUGCACAAUUAGAAGUGGCGCUAUGUAAAAUAGGUAAAUAAACUUUGUGAUAAGUUACUGGUUGGUUAUUAACAAUCUUGAGAAUUAGAUUGAUAUUUAGGCAGUUAAGUUGGUAAUAAUAGGUUAUUAGUAGAAUAAAUGAUUAAGAAUUCAAAGGGUCAUAACCUUUGAAAUCUGCUAGCUGACAGAUCAUCUUUUUGGUAGGAUAAAUAGAAUGAGAAUCGUAAGCCAAGAGCCAGAUUGUGAGAGUUGUAAGUCGAGAGCUAAAUUAUGAGAGUCGUAAGUCAAGAGCCAAACUGUGAGAGUCAUAAGCCGUAAGCCAGACUGUGAGCAUCGUAAGCCAGGGUAAGCUUGGUGCUACAUCUUUGUUUUCUUCAUAAUUUGCUUAUGAAGAAUUAUGAUUGACAGAAGUAUUGUUGAAUUGAUGAUCGUAGAAUGAAUUAUGGGUAGAAUUAAGAUGGAAGUAGUAAGCCUCGAUAUUUUAUAGUUUGAUACUUGAUUUCAGAUAGCUAGAAUAAAGUCAAUUAUGACACUCACAGACCCAAUUCAUAUAACUAGUCUUUCACUGUAUUCGAACCCACUUCUAUUAGUUCAAUUUCUUUGGUAUACUGAAGCUUUAAUGCAAUAAGAACAAUACGGAUAUUCACAUGUAAGCCAAUAAUCACAUGUAUAAAUAGAUAGAAGUAAGUAAAAAUAGGUAAAAAUAAAUUAAUUCUAUAGUAUUUAUUAUAAAAGCUUCCUAGAAGCUUCAUAAACACAGCUUUGACUUUAUAGGUGUCUUUAAUUGACUUUUUGGAUUAGAAACAUGGUCAACAAGUUGGCCAUGUGCCAUACAUAUUAUAAGCUUGAAGACUAAGCUAAUUAUGUGGCUCACAUGUCGAAAAACUUAUCUUCUAAGUCAAGGCAUGUGUCCUACAAAGUCAACACAUAUUGGAGGUCCUAUGGAAUUUCACCACGUAGCCCCUAGUUAGAUAGUAUAUAUAGAGACAAGAGUGAAGCCUUCUUCACUCUUGUCAAUUCUUUUCUUGCUUCCAGUUUAGUUUCAAGGGUCUCUAGUUUUCUUGAAUUUUUGGCAAUAGCCAUUCCAGUUUCUUUCUUAAUAUAUAUAUCAAGUCAUUUCUAUUUUGUCAUCUUUCUUUGAGAGAAGUCUCACUUUUUUAUUUGUCUUCAUCAUGUUCUUAUCCUUGACAGAUUCACAAGAGUACACUUACAAUAUCAGAGCUUUAUCUUUUUUUGAUUAACAGUGGAUUAUCCCUUUUUAUUGAUAAGACAUAAGCAUAUUAAGAGUUGCGGAUUACCUUCUUUUAAACUGAUAUUAUUUUUAGUAUUUUCUUUGUUCUCAAGUCCGUUCUCUUACUUGUCUUGAGCAAUAUUAGAAAUUUUUUUUUCUAGGUGUUAUCAUGGCAAAGCUUGUCAAAUUGAAGAGUAUAAUGACACAAAUGCAAGAAUAAUUGAGGCAAUUAAUGCUUGUGAUGCAUCAACUUAAUUCACCAAGAGGAAGAAGAAUAAGAAUAACAGAAAGUGGAGAUGUAGAGAUGGUCAAAGCUGCCUCAACAUCUACAUUGAAUCAUGCCUCUUGUUCCAUGGUGGAACACCAUUCAAAUAGUAGAGAACCAAGAAUUACCUUAUCCAAGAAAUUUGAUGGUAUGAGAUCAAAGUUUCGAAGAUUCAUCAAUCAAGUACAAUUGACAAUCAAACUUCAAUCCCAAAGCUAUUCAACUCCAAGAUCACAAGUCAGGUUUAUUGGAAGACUACUUUUCGGUUCUGCGUUAUCAUCGUUUUUAUCUUUUCUUGAACCACAAGAUCCAAUAUUGGAUAAUUUCAAAGCUUUCUUGGUGGAAUUUUGAUCUAUGUAUAGAGAACAUGAUACAGUUCAUGUUGCAACAAAUAAGAUCCGUAUCUUGGGACAAAGAAAUCGAUCUGUAACAAUAUAUGCUUCAUAAUUUUGACAACUUACAAUUGAUACCAAGUCGGAUGAUAUUGCACUCAUUAACCAAUUCCUUCAUGGACUACAAUAUGAGGUAAAAAAAUUGAUGCUCAAGUUACCCGAUCCUGAAACAUUGAGUCAAGCAAUUGAUUUUGCUAUAAAAUGUGACAAUCGACUUUUUGAAUUUUGAUAUGAGAAUCACAUAAGUAGGCCUCAACAUUAAUACAAUUCAAUGGCAACACCUACGUCUUUCUAACACAUAUCUUCAAAAAUAAAAGAUAUGCAAAUCAAUACAAUAUAUUUCAAACAUCUUACUGAACAAGAAAAGACUCGUCGUCCUCAAGAAAGAUUAUGUUUAUAUUAUGGAGAACCAAAAUACACUGCUCAACAUUUUUCAAAAAAAUGACACAACCACAAAAUGAGGACUAUGGCUGUCAAAGAAGACAAUAUGUCUAAAACGAAUUUGUCUAGCUAUAAUAGGGACCGUUGUUGUGUUAUAACAUGAGUAUACUGUGAAAAUAUAAAGAAAGGGGACUUUUGUUAAUGUUCAAUUACCUCGAAUAUUGGGAGCAACAACCAAUUCCAGUGCAAGUACUAAGAGGUCAGGUUCAGUCACCCCGUUACAGUCAGAUGGGACUUACUAAAAUGCUCCAUUCGAUUCCAAUAAUGGGAGUCAGUAGAAAGGAAAAGGACCAAUUUAACGACGAGUGUGCCUGGUUCGAAGAGCCAAUUGGAUCCAAUUUCAAGACAUCGAAUCCAGGUCUUACUACGGGCCUCUUAGCCAAUCUGACGUGAAGGACCAAUUUGACCCAAUUACGGGAACAUCCAAGUCUUACGACGGGCCUCUUAGCCAAUAUGAGACCUGAAUUGGUCGAGCGACUCAAUGUGGUCCCGAUUACGGGGGUUCCGAUUCCGUUUCAGGUUGUUCCAUCUUUUGUGCCGUUCCGGGAACGUCCUUUCGAUAAAAGGAUCUCUUAAAGGUAAAAACGGGGCAGAAGCUCUGACGGCGGAGCCAAUUCCAGAUCCAAGACGGCGGAUUGAAGAAAUUCAGAGGCUAGGGUUUGAAAGACGGGAGAAUUAGGGUUAAAGGAGAGGAUAGGUUAAGAAAUAGAAGGGAAGAGAAAAGUUUUUUUAGAAGGGUCGGGGAGAGCUUCAGGCUUCGGGCAGGGAAAAAAGACAGAGGAUUGGGGUUUUUUUUCUUCAUAGGGUUUUUGAAAGACUGAGGCAAUCGCUGCUGAAGUCAGUGUUGUACUGGUGAAUCGGGAUUUUAAUGAAGUGGGUGUAAUUACUCUUGACUGUUUUAUGAAAUCGAGUUACGUCUGUGAUGAAGAAUUAAAAGGGUGUCUAAAGGAUUGAGUAUGCAGAAUGAAUGAAAUUUAUUGGAUUAAUGUAACGAGACAAUCAGUGGUUACAAGAUCGUGAGUAUAAAGCGGUAUCGAAGAUUAGCAGUUUGGGUUGUUCGGGAUUCUCCGUAACGUCUAGAGACCUACCGGCUGGAGCAAAAAGGAUUUCGACGAGCAGUUGAAGGACAUCCAUAUAGAUUUAUGAUAUAUUCUUAUAGUUAUUUAUAUUCCAACAGUCAAAAACCAAUAAACUACUUAAAUAUUAGCGAAUCUCCAUACUACCUUCUAUAGUCAAACGCCCGACACAUUCUUGAGUAAGAAAGCACGUAAUACGACAGAAGUGGUGAACUCGACGUGAAAGCUUAAGGUGGAAGGUAUUGGAUUUCGUUUGAUUCUAUUUUUAUUUUUAUGGAAAACGAAAAUAAAAAUUUUGAAGGAUCUUUAGGAGGAGUUUUUCGUGGGGAGUCUUCUAAAGGACAAGGUAUGUACAUGGAUCCGUCUAUUGCUAGUAUGUUUCAAGCCUUCUCAUUAUCAAUGCAGCAACAACAAAGCAAUGAUCGAAAGAAAGCUUUGGCAACCAAAGCAUUGCAAGCAGUGGUCAAUAAAAUUGAUCAAUUUGAUGGAAGGAAUAUUUUAAGGUAUUUAAGAUGUUAUAUUCGUGAAAUGGAAUUAAAUCGGAUUUUUGAGAAGAAAAUGGUUGAAUUAUUUGGAUUUGCCACGAUACCGGAGAUAGGAGACCAUAUUACAUCGAUUAUAGAUCGUUAUGGAAAUUCAUGGGAGGUUUUUUCACAUGCAUUGAAAGAUGAAUAUUUCUUGGAAGAUGCUGAUCGCAUUACUAAGAAGUUGUUUCUGGAAUGGAUUGAAUGGCCUAAUAAGAAUUUACAAGCAACAGAGCUACUAAUGGAAUUUGAGAGGCAGUACUCUCAAUUAUCGAAGGUAGAAAAAUUGACAUUGGAGUCGAACAAAGUUGAUCUAUUUCUACGAGCUGCUGAUGGAAAAUUGCAAGGAAAAUUAGAACUCCUUCUUAAAGAUAAAGAAGAAGAUGAAGGAUUGACAAUAAAGUGGAAGAACGUUGAUGAUGCGGUGGGGUUGCUUACAAAAAGAGAAAGGAGGAAGGAUAGGAGCAAUAUUCCAAAAACAGUACAAGCACCCAAAGCUCCAGUACGUACAACACCACCAACAAUGCCUACAGUUCAACCUUCGACAUCCUUAUCAAAGAAAGCAGAUAUGGAGAUGGAAGAAAUUAUACGAGGAAUGUGAGAUCUUCAAAUCAAAUUGGCAAGACUUGAAGAGAAUACUUCUGCAAAUAAUUUGAAGAAUUUUUCAAAACAAAGAUAUGUACAAAGAUGCAUUUGGUAUGAUGAUGCUUCAUACACUAGAAAAGAUUACAAUGAAUUUAAUAAUAUGAUACGACAAGGAAUUAUUUGCUAGAAAGAUGGAAAGAUAGCAUUAAAAGAUAGGGAGGAUCUUCUUCAAACCAAUUUUGGCAAGGGAGGAAUGAGAGCAUUGGUUCAAGAUUACUUAAAAGAGCAUGAAACAGCAGCACGAGAAAGUGCAAGUUAUGGUGCUAGAGUAGAUGACGACCUUGGUGGAAGUACGAAAACUAGUGAGUUUUGGACUUCUGCCAUUUUUAUAAUGUAAGAAGGGAAAUUACCUCGAGAAGCGUUAUUGAGGAUUGCAGCUACAAUACGAGGUGCAACAGGUUGGGAGGAUCUUGUUGAAUCUCUUUCAGUUCAUGCAUAUAUUGCUAAGAGCCAACAUGAAGCUUUGAUGGAAGAAAAGAGAUAAGGAAAUUUUGAUAAUACGAGAGAAGGAAAUUCUUCUAAGAGGCAAACUCGAGGAGACAAGGCUCGGGAGGCAGCUUCACAAGAAUUGUCUGUAAAGGAUACCUCAGCAUCAUUGGAAGAAAAAACAAUGGAGACAAAAGAUAAGAACAAAUCAAUUGCUUAUAAGCUACUUUCUGACAUUGAAGCGACAACAAAUUUGAAAGGGGUGUUGGAAGAACGUAUAUUAAAUGCUAAAGUGGAAUUCACAUUGAAAGAAGUCUUGAAAAUUGUAAAGAAGGAGUUUCAUGACGUUAUCAUUGAUAGCAUUAAGUGAAAAAAGCAAUUAAUGGACGGAACUGGAAUGAGUCAUGCUAUUGAUGCAAGAACAUAUAAAGAUGAAGAAGAGGUUGAUAUUGGUUAGAAGCAAGCAAAAAUUGAAAAGAAUGGAUAUAAUCAACGAGUACGUUUCGAAGAUUAUAGUGAUAAAGAAAUGGAAACUUUGAGUCAUUAUACUCAAAAGCAUUGGACAAGGGCAACUAUUGAGGUAUUGGUGAAAAUAGGAGAUAUAGAAGAACCAAUUGUUGCUUUAGUCGACCAUGGUUUUGAAAUAAAUCUCAUGUCUAAAGAUCUUUAUAAGGAGCAAAAAUGGCCAAUUGAUAUGGAACAUGGAUGGGCAAUAUGAGCAGCUAAUAACACAUGGGGCGAAUUAUAUGGAGCUUGUCCAGAUGUCAAAAUUUGGAUUGGAGAUGUUGCGAUAGAGCAACAUUUUUUUGUUCAAGAUACAACGUCUUAUCCAUUGAUUUUAGGACAACCUUAUAUUACGACAACUCGGAUGGAAAUAAAAGUAUUUGAUGAUGGUUCUGCUUAUGCAAGGGUACUUAGCAAAGAUGGGAGGAAAGCUGUACAAUUUCUAACAGUACCUCCUAAUCAUAAACGGAAUCGAGAUAGGUUGAGGGAGAAACCAUUGCCAAAGAUUGUUGAAGGAUUUAAGGAUUUCGAGAGGUACCACUGUAAAGCGAGAUUAUGGAGGUACAAAAGAGGAGGUACUCUCGCGAGAUGAAGGUGCCUUUGAUGCGAGUUUUAUUGAUAUUUUGGAGAAUAGAAAUAUUAUGUAUAAAAAAGUUGAUGAUUUUAAAAGAAAAGAAAGAAAAAGAUUAUAUGAUAUUGAAGGAGAAUUACGCAAGUUAGGUACGCAGCAAGAAGAUGAAAGUGAUUUAGAUAAUGAAGGUCACGAAGACGAACUGGAGAAAGAUGUAGAGAAUAUAUUCUAAAUCAAACAACAGUUGGAUAAAUUGGUGCAUACCGGAGGAUGUACAGGUUCAGAGGGGGUGGAUGUCGUGUUGUAACACGAAUAUAUCGUGAAAAUAUAAAGAAAGGGGACUUUUAUUAAUGUUCAAUUACCUCGAAUAUUGGGAGGAAUAACCAAUUCCAGUGCAAAUACUGAGAGGUCAGGUUCAAUCACCCCGUUACAGUCAGUCGGGACAUAUUGAAAUGCUUCGUUCGAUUCCGAUACUAGGAGUCAGUAGAAGAAAAAGGACUAAUUCAACGACGAAUGAGCCUGGUUUGAAGAGCCAAUUGGAUCCAAUUUCAAGACAUCUAAUCCAGGUCUUACUACAGGCUUCUUAGUCAAUCUGACGCCAAAGACCAAUUUGACCCAAUUACGGGAACAUCCAAGUCUUACUACGGGCCUCUUAGCCAAUAUGAGACCUGAAUUGGUUGGGCGACUCAAUGUGGUCCCGAUUAUGGAGGUUUCGAUUCUGUUUUAGGUUGUUCCAUCUUUUGUGUUGUUUCGGGAACGUCCUUUUGGUAAAAGGAUCUCUUAAAGGUAAAAACGGGGGAGAAGCUCUAAUGGCGGAGCCAAUUCUAGAUCGAAGACAAAAGAUUGAAGAAAUUCAGAGGCUAGGAUUUGAAAGAGGGGAGAAUUAGGGUUAAAGGAGAGGAUAGGUUAAGAAAUGGAAGGGAAGAGAAAAGUUUUUUUAGAAGGAUCGGGGAGAGCUUCAUACUUCGAGCAGAAAAAAAAGACAGAGGAUUGGGGUUUUUUUUCUUCAUAGGGUUUUUGAAAGACUGAGGCAAUCGUUGCUGAAGUCAGUGUUGUACUGGUGAAUCGGGAUUUAAAUGAAGUGGGUGUGAUUGCUCUUGACUAUUUUGUAAAAUCGAGUUACGUCUGUGAUGAAGAAUUAAAAGGGUGUCUAUAGGAUUGUAUAUGUAAAGUGAAUGAAAUUUAUUGGAUUAAUCUAACGAGACAGUCAAUGGUUACAAGAUCGUGACUAUAAAGCGGUAUCGAAGAUUAGCAGUUUGGGUUGUUCGAGGUUCUCUGUAACGUCUAGAGACCUACCGGUUGGGACAAAAAGGAUUUCGACGAGCAGUCGAAGGACAUCCAUAUAGAUUUACGAUAUAUUCUUAUAGUUGUUUAUAUUCCAACAAUCAAAAACCGAUAAACUGCUUGAAUAUUAGUGAAUCUCCAUACUACCUUCUACAGUUAGACGCCCGGCACGUUCUCGAGCAGAAAAGCACAUAAUAUGACACCGUGCAGCUGGAACCUUGCACAACAUCUAAUAAAGGUCUUAUUCUCUCCUCAAAACCCUCUCCUUGUUUUACAUUAAAUGUUAAUCUAGGACCUUUACAUUACAAAGCCUUUGCCUUGUUAGAUUAAAUGUUAUUCUAGGACCUUUACAUUACAAAGCCUUUGCCUUGUUACUAUUCAAGUCGAUUUCUUAGGUUACAUCAUUUCAAAUGAUGGACUUAUGAUGGAUCCUGAGAAAGUUCAAACUAUUAUAGAUUGAAAGAUCCCAAAAAUGGUAAGAGAUGUCCAAUGCUUUUUGGGAUUUGCCAACUACUAUUGGAUCUUCAUCAAAGACUUCUCUCAAGUUGCAGCUCUACUUACACGUUUGACUUGUAAAGACAAACUCCAAUGGAAUCAAGAAGUGUAAGUUGCUUUAGAAUCUUUGAAGACAGCGUUUCUUUUUGCACCAAUCUUGUAUCGUGUUGAUUUUUUUAAAGUAUUCUUUAUGGAAAUAAAUACAUCAAACUUUGCUCUAGGUACAAUUUUGUCACAAAUGGGAACUUAUGAUAAACUUUAUCCAGUAGCCUUUCAUUCAAAAAAAUUCUCAACUGCAGAAAUUAAUUAUGAAAUCCAUGACAAAGAACUUAUUGCAAUUGUGGAUUCCUUUCAAGGAUGGCGUCAUUAUCUAGAAGGCCUUUCCACUCCAAUCACCGUAUAUAUGGAUCAGAAGAACCUCGAGUAUUUCAUGUCAGCAUGCAUAUUAAAUCAUCGUCAAACUUGUUGGAGCAUGUCUUUAUCAAGAUUCGAGUUCAUCAUCACUUAUCGGCCAGGAAAACAACAAGGUUUGUCUGAUGCCUUGUCUAGACAUUCUUAUCUUGUACCAAAAGAAGGAGAUACAGCUUUUGAGCAACAAAGAAUGGUUCUCUUGAAAUCGGAGCAAUUUCAUCUUCGAGUAAUAAAAUCAACAUUGACUGUUGAUUUAACUUUUCUCAAGCAAGUCUAGUUAAGUAUGUCUUCAGACCCUCUUGUUCAUGAUAUCAAGAAUAAUUCUUCUAAAUCUCAUGAUCCCUCUAAAUUCAAGUUCAACAAUAACCUACUCUAUUUCAAAAGACGCCUUUAUGUUCCAGAACGAGAAGCAUAUUUAUGUAUUCUUCAAGCUCAUCACGACUUUCCAGCAGCAGGAUAUUUUGGAUACAGUAAGACUUUGGAGCUAAUAUCUAGGGAUUUUUGGUGGCCUCAAAUGUGAAAGGCAGUCAAAGGUUUUGUACAAUCAUGUGAUGUUUGCUCAAAAUCAAAAACUCCUCGUUAUCGACCUUUUAGACUUUUUCAGCCAUUACCUAUUCUAGAACAACCAUGGUCUUUUAUUUCUAUGGACUUUAUUACGGAUCUUCCAAUCUCAGGUUCUUAUGACUCUAUAUUUGUGAUAGUAGAUCAUUUUAUCAAGAUGGAAUAUUUUGUACCAUGUAUAAAAUCUAUCAUAGGUGAAGAAAUAGCUAAGCUCUUUCUUAAGAAUAUCUGUCGCUAUCAUGGAUUAUUCAAGGAUAUUAUAUUAGAUAGGGGAACUCAAUUUGUAUCAAGAUUUUCGCGGACUCUUUCCAAGAUUCUAAAAGUGGAUGUAAAACUAUCUUUGACAUUCCAUCCUCAAAUUGAUAGACAAACGGAACGUGUUAAUCAAGUUUUGGAGCAAUAUUUAACAUGUAAUAUUAACUACCAAGAAGAUGAUUGGACAACUCUUUUGCCAAUAGCAGAGUUUGCUUACAAUAAUACGAUACAUUCUUCUACAAAACAAAAAACUUUCUUUGGUAAUUAUGGUUAUCAUCCAUGACUUGAUACUUUUGACUUUUCAAAAGUUGGUAAUCUUGUUGCAAAAGAUUUGACAAUUCAUUUAUCAAAGCUACAUGCAAUGAUGAAGGCGUAGUUAAAAGAAGCUCAAGAACAACAAAAGAUCAAUGUGGAUGUCUAUCAAAAGGAACAACCACCAUUUCACAUGGAUGAUAAGGUAUGGUUACUUUGUUGCAAUAUCAAGACCACUCGUCCUUGUGACAAGUUGGACUAUCAAAGGCUUGAACCAUUUUUUAUUUUUGCUCAAAUCAAUCCAAUUACAUAUCGUUUACAUUUAUCGGAGUCAAUAAAAAUCCAUCUAGUAUUCCACAUGUUUCUUCUUGAACUCUGCAAGACAGUGGAUAUAUCAAGAAGAAGACAAGCUCUACCUCCUUCUAUAGAAGUGGACAAUAAUAAAGAGUUUGAAAUGGAAGAAGUCUUAGAUUCAACGCGGGGCCGUAAUAAAUUAGAAUAUCUUGUCCAUUGGUGUGGAUAUGAUAUUAGUGAACGUACAUAGGAGCCAGUAAAAAAUCUUAUAAAUGCAGCAAAGGUGGUGGAGGCUUUUCAUCAACGACAUCCAUCAAAAUCAAGAUAAAAAUCUUAUUUAUAAAAGAAACAAGAUCUAGGUGAGAUAACAUUCUACUUUCAAUCCUUGUUUGUAGCUUCUUUGUAAUUAUAAUGCUAUUGUGUUGUAAAACAACUAUAUGGUGAAAAUAUAAAUGAAAAAGAUAUUAUUAAUAUUUUGUCAUCUAGGAUGUUAGAUACAGUGGCCAAUCCAGUGCCAAUAUUCAAAGGUAGUUAAUAUCACUCCACCGGUGUCGUGUUGUAACACGAGUAUACUGUGAAAAUAUAAAGAAAGAAGACUUUUAUUAAUGUUCAGUUACCUCGAAUAUUGGGAGCAACGACCAAUUCCAGUGCAAAUACUGAGAGGCUAGGUUCAGUCACCCCGUUACAGUCAGCCGGGGCUUACUGAAAUGCUCCGUUCGAUUCCAAUAACGGGAGUCAGUUGAAAGGGAAAGGACCAAUUCAACGACGGGUGAGCUUGGUUCGAAGAGUCAAUUGGAUCUAAUUUCAAGACAUCCAAUCCAGGUCCUCUUACCCAAUAUGAGACCUAAAUUGGUCGGACAACCCAAUGCGGUCCAAUUGCAGGAACAUCAAGGUCUUACUACGAGGUCUUACUAUGGGCCUCUUAUCCAAUAUGAGACCUGAAUUCGUCGGGUGACUCAAUGUUGUCCUGAUUAUAGGGCUCCGGUUCCGUUUCAGGCUGUUCCGUCCUUUGUGCUGUUCCGGGAACGUCUUUUUGGUAAAAGGAUCUCUUAAAGGUAAAAAUAGAGGAGAAAGCUCUAACGACGGAGCCAAUUCCGGAUCUAAGACAGAAGGAGCCAAUUCGGGAUCGAAGACGAAAGAAGCCAAUUUUGGAUCCAAGACGGAAGGAGCCAAUUCCAGAUCCAAGACGGAAGAUUGAAGAAAUUCAGGGGCUAGGAUUUGAAAGAGGGGAGAAUUAGGAUUAAAGGAGAGGAAGGUUAAGAAAUGGAGGGGGGAGUUUCAAAUCGGAUUUCUGGAUCGAAGAGCUAGCUUCAAGCUCUUUUCAAGGUCACUAGUUUUGUUUCAUUAGGGUUUGUGAGGGGAGAGCAAUCGCUCCUCAAAAUCAGUGUUUAUUUUGGUGUUUUGGAUUUUAUAUAAAACAUUGAUAGUUUACAUUCUCAAUCGGUUUGUGCAAGUCGUGUAGCAUCUAUAGGUCAAAAUUUGGUAUUGUCUGGAUAGUUGGGUGUGAUAAGUGUAUACAAAAAUUUGUGUUAAUCUAACGAUGCAAUCAAGAGAUAUCUGGGUUUUAGUACAAAGGGUUGUUGGAAGUUGGUAGUCUAGGGUUGGAUAGGGUUUCUCUGAUAUUUGAAGGUCUACCAAUUGGAUCAACGUAAUUUUUGGCUUGGUAAUAGAAGAUUUGGAGAUCAAGCGGCUAUUCAAUUUUGAGCUGGAGUUAAUGGUUGACAAAGGAGAAAUCACUUCUCGAGUUUCUACAUCAAAUUUCAAGGUUGCGGCUGAGUGUUAUCAGUGCGGUUUUUUGGACGUUUUCUUGCAAUCUAUAAGUUGGGUUGGGCUGAAAUUUUUUGAGCAUAUAGAAGGCUUAUACUGGUAUUUGGGUGCAAAAUUUCACACUAAGUGGACGGUUGGAUCAAAAGUUACAGCUUGUCAAAGCUCAUUGGCUAGGAUUAAGGCUUGUUAAGAAAAACAAAAAUAACUUAAUUAUAAAAGAAAUAAAGCAAUUGGAAUAUUGUAUGGUUAAAAUGACUAUGAAGAGUGUUUUUAAAUACUUGGAAAUUGAUAUUUUAAUUAUAUUCUUCAUACAUGGAUAAAAUCUAUCAAGGUUUCUUUGUUAUUUGCAAAAACAACUAUACCUUCCACAGCCAGAUAUCCAGUGUAUUCCCGAACAAGACAACAUGUAAUACGACAUCGGCAUCAUCAAACCAAGUACCUUCUGUACCAAUGGGAUAAUCAGGAUCAUUUUCCAACCCUAUAUGGAACAAGUCUAGUAGGUAUAUACUGGUAGAGACACCCAAUUUGUAUGAUGGGGGUGCAGGAAGACCACUUCGUCAUUUCCAUUGCAGACAAGUUGGUUAUUAUGUUAGUGAAUGUUUCAAUCCCAAAGCCAGUGAUGAUUAUGCAGUAGUGUGAAGGAAUUGCAAGAAAUCGAGGCAUACUGAUUAGCAAUGUGAUGCUCCAUCCAAUUUCAAUAAAUGAGAUCAGUAGAUCCAAAGUCCAGAAAAAUUGAAAGAAAUAAAUCAAGGUCCUCUAUAAUAUCUGGAGAUCUACUAUCUAGAAUAAGGUGACUUUUAGCAUGAUAAAUCGAGGACUUUUAGGCGAUAGUCAAGAUACAUCAAUGUGGAUUAACGGUAUUUUUUUGCAACCUAUAAGUUAGAUUGGAUUGAAACUUCUUGAGUAUUUAGAAGGCUUGCAAAGAUACUAGUGGUAGAAAUUUACAACAAUCAGACAGUUAGAUUGAAAAUUACAGCUUGCUAAAGCUCGCUCUCUAGAGUUAGGAUUAAAAAAUAAAAUAAAAUAAAAUAAUAAAUAAAUAAAUAAACAAAAAAAUAAAAACUAACAAAUAACAAAAGACUUUGUGCUUAUAAUAUCUUCAAGUUAUUAAAAAUAUUAUUUCUAAAUACUUUGUAUUGGGAUUAAGCUUUUACAUUGAAAUCCAAAAUAAUUUGUAAUAGAUGGUUGAAACCCACUAGCCUACCUAGAUACUUGUAAAUCAUUAUUUUAUCUUCCAUAGCUACAUGCCUGAUGCGUUCUCAAGCAAGAUAGCAUGUCAUAUGAAAACACUUAGAAGAUGGAGAACCAACAACCAGCGGAUUUGACUCAAUAGCCUUCGUUUACUAACUUAUCAGACAAGACAUUACAAUUGUCACGACCUUCAAGACGAUGCAAUUGAGAUGAAGAUCUUUAAGAAUAAUAUGUUCUUCUUCGAAUAGAUAUCAAGAUAGAAUGCGUUUGAUAUCACGACCUUGGAAGGGACUCUUGAUGUUUGGUGAUUUUACUAGAGGUAGGAAUAAUUCUUGAUGGUGUUCCAAAUAUUUUAUUCGAAGGAAGUUAUGAAGGCCUCAACAAUGAUCAAAUAACUGGAUGGUCUUCUUGCCCUGGUAUGGGAUACUACCGAUAGUUGAGAGGCCCUAUCAAUCAUCUUCAAAGAGAACAAAGUUCAAAGUAUGUAGCGAAUACAAUUCGUCACAUCAUAGAUUUCCUCAACAUAUGAUUAUCUCUCCUCGUGGAACUCGUCCGUUGAAGAAAGGAGUAAUGUCAUGGACAUACACAUAUAAGCCAAUAACUACAUGUAUAAAUAGGUAGAAAUAAAUAAAAGUAUGUAAAAGUAAGUUAAUUCUAUAAUAUUUACUAUAAAAGCUUCUUAGAAGCUCCAUAGAUACUGCUUUGACUUUAUAGAUGUCUUUAAUUGACUUUUUGGAUUCAAAACGUGGUCAACAAGUUGGCCAUGUACCACACAUGGUGUUAGCUUGAAGACCAAGCUAACUAUAUGGCUGACACGUAGAAAAACUUGCCUGGUAAGUCAAGGCAUGUAUCCUACAAAGUCAACACAUAUUAGAGGUCCUAUAGAACGUCGCCACGUAGCGUCUAGUUAGAUAGUAUAUAUAGAGACAAGAAUGAAGCCUUCUUCACUCUUGUCAACUGCUUUUUUGCUUCCAGUCUAGUUUCAAGGGUCUCUAGUUUUCUUGACUUUUUGGCAAUAGCCAUUCUAAUUUCGUUCUUAAUAUAUAUAUCAAGUUAUUUCUAUUUUUUCAUCUUACUUUGAGAGAAGUCUCACUCGUUUAUUUGUCUUUAUUGCAUUCUUUUCCUUAAUACUUAGAGGCUUUAUGUAUACAGAUAUAAUUCUUUAUGUAUUUAUAGUUUAAAAUUUGAUCAACAAGUUGUCUGCAUAUUGCACAUAUUAACAACUUGAAGAAUAAGUUGGUCAUGUAGCACUCAUAUAUGAAACUUACUAUGCAAAUUAAACAUGUGACUUACACGAUAAAAAAUUGUUGAAGGUCUUAAAGAAUGUUAUCAUAUAGUUCCUAAGUAUAUUUUACAUAUGGAAAAAAAAGUAAAGUCUUUUUUACUCUUGUGAAUAAAUAUUUAAAAUUAAGCUCAAUUUUUUUGGAGUAGUGGAUCGCUUCAAAGCACAUCUUGUGGCAAAUAAAUUCAACCAACUUCUAGGCUUAGGCUACAAUAAAACCUUUUUUAAUAGUCAUUUGCAUACAAUCAAUUUGACUCAUGUUUGCUUUAGCAGUUCAACUUGAUUUCUAUGUACAUCAAAUGAACAUUAAAAUAACAUUCUUAAAUAGAUCUAUUUAAGAAGAAAUAUAUAUAUAUAUAUAUAUAUAUAUAUAUAUGUAAAGAUCUUAAAUAAAGUCAUUUUUUUACAACUUGGUAUGGUGUGACCCCUUCACAAAACCAUUUAUGAAUUAAAACAAUCACCCAAGGAAUAGUUCAAGAUAAUCAAUACAUUUCUCAGCUUAUACAAAUCACUCUCAGCUUGUAAAUUGGAAUUAAAUAAAUCACUCUCAGCUUGUAAAUUGGAAUUAAAUAAAUCACUCUCAGCUUGUAAAUUGGAAUUAAAUAAAUCACUCUCAGCUUGUAAAUUGGAAUUAAAUAAAUCACUCUCAGCUUGUAAAUUGGAAUUAAAUAAAUCACUCUCAGCUUGUAAAUUGGAAUUAAAUAAGUCACUCUCAGCUUGUAAAUUGGAAUUAAAUAAAUCACUCUCAGCUUGUAAAUUGGAAUUAAAUAAAUCACUCUCAGCUUGUAAAUUGGAAUUAAAUAAAUCACUCUCAGCUUGUAAAUUGGAAUUAAAUAAGUCACUCUCAGCUUGUAAAUUGGAAUUAAAUAAAUCACUCUCAGCUUGUAAAUUGGAAUUAAAUAAAUCACUCUCAGCUUGUAAAUUGGAAUUAAAUAAAUCACUCUCAGCUUGUAAAUUGGAAUUAAAUAAAUCACUCUCAGCUUGUAAAUUGGAAUUAAAUAAAUCACUCUCAGCUUGUAAAUUGGAAUGAAGAUGGUUAGAGAAGAGUUGUGCAUAUUGGAUGAAAUGUGAGAAGGUUAUGUGUUGGAAAGGAGUGCUUAAUCAUUGAAAUGGCAUUUGCUGCAUGGAAAUGGAAUGAGCCGAAGGAGGUUCGCAUCGAAAGAACUGGAGAAUGGGGUAAUUCAAGAGAAGGGAAAAUCGAGAAGGGGGGCGCGGGGCACGAAAACGAGAGUGCGGAAGGGGAGGAGAAACAAUGGGCAGCGGAGUCGUCAACUGCAGGAUUUGAACCUGCGCGGGGAAACCCCAGCAGAUUUCGAGUCUGCCGCCUUAACCACUCGGCCAAAUUGACACGCGCCACAAUCUACAAUUCCGGCGACCCACGACCAUGCUGGGGAUCGAACCCAGAAUCUCUUGCUCCGUAGGCAAGCGCCUUAUCCAUUGGGCCACACGGUCAGCGCCCCUCGACCGACCACAAUCAGACCCCCCCGCUCAGGGUGGGCCAGGGGCGAAGCGAACUAGGGAGGCCGCAGGGUAGUCACCAUUUCCUUCGGGAGUUUGAACCCGACGUGAAUCGAACACGCAACCUUCUGAUCUGGAGUCAGACGCGCUACCAUUGCGCCACGGAUCCCACGGCGAUGCACGUCUCUCAUCCGGUUCUCAAUAUCAACCCAAUCCCGCCCCAGGCACCACUCACCGCCGCCCCCUCUGACCCCGCUGAGUGGCCCAUGCGCCGUCGCAAAUCCCUUGCCCCCUUCCCCCAGCGCUCCCUUUCCACCGGAUUCUGUCCCGGCUUUCGGUCCUGGGACUGCUUUUGUCCCUCGUUCCCUCCGCGCCACCCCUGGCUGCCUUGACGGAAUCCAUGUAUUUGGCUCCAUCCUGGCUGUAAUCCCACUCCCAGAUGCGCCCACUGUCCAGGUCUCACCAUCACCUUCUUUUCCUCGGAGCCGUUUCUGCAUUUGCCGCCGCUGCGCUCCACCAUGGUUGGGAUGGACCACGCUCCUUCCACGAGCCCCCAAACGUUCACUCCAAUCACCCCACGCAUUCUCAACUCCGCUCUCCGGUCAUGUCAACAACUGUGCACACAUUCAAACAGCUCUAUCCAAAAGGUGACCUUCCUCUCUGUUGACAACACCCCGUUCCACAUGAGGUGACCCGCUCAACCACACCGCUCCGUUGCCCCCAACACCUCCCGCAGUCGCUCACUCCUUCCUCCGACAUCACAAGUGAUGCACACAGCGCACAUCAUCAUCCGCGGGCAAUUCGAGGAUAUGCAACUAGCGUGUCCGUCUAACCAAGUUUAUUGACUGUUUAUGGAGCAUUUGGUUACAUCAAUCGUAUUAAGUGGACAUGUUCAAUCACAUGCUGGUCGUUACAUCGAACCUGAUUUGUUUUCUGCCGCUAGGUUUUCCAUCUGAUUUCGAAGCCCUUGUGGUACUUCUCGGAUGCGUUUGAUCAUGGCAUUUGGUAUGCCUUUCCUUUGCUUGUGUUGGAUUCACAACCAUUUAUUAAGGUAGUUGGUUUGAAAACUGCGUGUUGUGGGACCCAUCUCUUGUUUUGAGAGGGCAGCAGGUAUUUACAGUGAUAGUCCUUUUUGUUAUGAAGUCUAAGAAGUUCAGAUCAUUCAGAGGGAGGGGGGCAAUCAGUUGGGUGGAGUUGUUUGCUUGGCAAGGCUGACUCGAAGCCAGGAUUGGUGUGCCUAGUGCAUCGUCACUUAUCUCUGUAGGCAUGCUCCGGUCGAUGAGUAACCUCGUAAUCGAGGUGAACAAAAGCUCGUUCAAUCUCCAGUAGCGACUCAAGUUUGUCUUGAAGUGAUUCGCCAAUAUCAUGUGCCUGGCGCAGUGGCGUGUCCGCUGCCAGCACAAUAUCGACUUCUGCAAAGUAAUGUCACCCAAAGGUGUAUGCACGGACGGGGUCAAUUUGAGGCAUCUCCUUGUGAUGAUUCCAGCACAGAUAUGUCAAAUUUGACAAUUUGACAAGAGUGCCAAUUUAUUCUUCUUGUCUUGUUUUAAAAGUGCGUCGAUUAUUUCACUUCUAUUGUUGUGUUUGGAAGGUUGUGGGCUACCUACCUUUAAACAAAUGAAUUAAUUUAUUAAUAUUGAUUUUUUUUUAAUGAAAGUGAAUUACUCUUUUUUGUAGAAAUUUUCAUUUGAUAUUAGAAGUUGUCAAUUAUCUUAGUCUAAUUUAAUUUUUUGAAUUUAUUUGAGUUGUCUGUAGAAAGAAAAAUUAUGAAUGCUACUUUUGGUGGAAGUAAAAAUAGAUUUAUAACUAUUGUAGAUCUUCACAAGCUUCUCAAUACUCUUAGGGUAGAAAUUUUAUAUAUUUUUGAUAUGAAUCAUAAGAUAUUAUUUAUAAAUCCAAAGAAGAAGUUAAUAAUGAAGUUUAAAGUCUACACCAAAAAACUAUGUAAUUAAGAGAAGGAAGUAAAUCAAGUUUACAACUAAAUCGAAGGAGUUUUAUUACUAUAAGUGUAAGGGAAGCAAAGAUAAGUAUGCCCAAGAAGUUUGAUAGAACAAGAUAAAAAAUUUGACGAUUUUUACAAUAAAUAAAAAUUUAAUUUAAAGUUUCACCUUUCUCAAUAUCCUGAUGGAUUUACUCAAGUUGGAUUCAUAGAAGUAGUUCAUUUUAAAAUUAUUUUUUCAUGAUUUAUACCUUUGAUGAAAAAAGAUUCAUGACUAUUCUAUGUUUUGAAUUUAUUUUUGAAGGUGUUUAUGAUUAAAUUUUAAAAAAAUAAUUAAAAAAAGAUUGUAGAAAUCAAGAUCAUAUUUCUACAAUAAGAAUCAUUUUCAAUCACUACAUAUGCUACUAAAUUCAAAAAUCUUGCUUGUGACAUGAAUUGGAAUGAUAAAAUCAUUAACAAUUAAUUUUGAUAUGAAUUGAAAGAUAGUGUCAAAGAUACUGAGAGCAAAUUUAUUAGAAAAAUUUAUUCCUCAAGCCAUUACAUGUGACAAUUGACUAUUUGAAAUAUGCUAAAAAAAAAGAUUUGAUUAAAGAGGUACAUGUAAAGAAAUGGCAACAUCUUCAAAGUUUUUGGAAGCUUACUUAUCUAAACCAAAGCCUAUGCAAACUAAUACAAUAUUUUUUAAACUUCUUAUUGAGCAAAAUAAAAUUGGUUGUUAUUAAGAAGAUUUGUGCGUAUAUUACAAAGAAUCCAAACACACUAUUCAACAUUAUCCAAAAAAGCAAUGCAAUCACAAAUGAAAAGCAUGGUUGCCAAAGAAGAUGAUGUAUUAAAAAAUAAAUUUUUUCAGCUACAAUAAAGACUAUGGAGUUAGAAUCUUCUAUAAUAUUUAAAAAAUAUCUUAGUCUCUUUUUAGAUAUUUUGCCUUGUUUUAUAAUAAAAGUUUAUAUAGAAUCAAAAAAUCACAAAGUCUUAUCAUUAUUAGAUUUGGGAGCCUCAACGUGUUAUAUAGACAAAGAUUUUGUUAAAAAAUAAGAGAACUUGUUACUUAAGAAAACUUAAUCCAUACAUGUAGAAGUCAUAGAUGGUCAUUUUUUGUCUCUUAAAAAUAUUAUCCAUGAAUUUUUUUUCUUUUACAUAUAGCAAUUAAUGAUUAUAAUAGUAUAAUAAUAUUUAAUAUAAUAAGAUCUCUCUUUAAUUUGAUUAUUUUAAAUUAUCAUGGUUAAAAAAGUAUAAUCUUUAAAUAGAUUAGAUUUCUUAUAAUCUUAAUUUUUUUUUUAAUUUAAUCUAAAAUUUGUUAGUUAAGUAAAAAUAUAUAAAUUUAGUAGUAAAUAUAAGAGUUUUUAUAUAUGCAACAAAAAAAAGAUCAACUUUUGCUAUAUAUAUCAUGCCUAAUUUUGAUGGUCAAAAGACAUCAAAUGGUAUUCCUAACUAGUAUGAAGAUUUUUAGGAUGUUUUUGAAAAAAAAAUUGUAGAUAUACUAUAAGAACAUCAAUCCUAUGAUUAUUCAAUUGAUUUUCAAGAAGGAAUUCAACCACCAUUCAGACCAAUCUAUAGCUUAUUGUGAAAUGAAUUGGCUAUAUUUAAAAAAUACAUUAAUAAUAACUUGACUUAAAACUUUAUAUGUCAUUCAAAAUCUCUAGCAAGAGCUCUUUUUUUAUUUGUGAAGAAAAAAUAUGGAUCUCUAUAGAUGUGCAUAGACUAUUAAGGACUUAAUAAGAUCACUAUCAAAAAUAGGUAUUUCCUAUCCUUGAUUUUAAGACUUCUUAACCAACUCAAACAAUCAAAGAUCUAUACAAAAAUAGAUCUAUGAAGAGUAUACAACUUGAUCCAAAUCAAAAAAAGAGAUAAGUAGAAGAUUACUUUUUGAACUAAGUAUGGAUAUUUUGAAUAUAAUGUCAUGCUUUUUGGACUUACAAAUACACUAGUUGCUUUUCAACAUUUCAUGAAUAUUAUUUUUUGUGAAUUCCUUAAUUAUUUGAUCAUUUGUUAUUUAGAUGACAUUCUAAUCUAUUCUAAAAAUAUAAAAAUAUGAACUUUAUGUUUGUUGUGUAUUACAAAAAUUUAGAAAUGCAUGAUUAUAUAUCAAAAUAACAAAUUUAAAAAAAUAUAUUCUAUACUAUUCAAGUUGAUUUCUUAGGAUACAUCAUUUUCAACAAAAGACUAAUCAUAGAUCCAAAGAAAGUUCAAACUACCACAGAUUAAAAGAUUGGAAGAACAAUAAGAGAUGUGCAAUGCUUUUUGAACUUUAUCAAUUACUAUUGGAUCUUUAUUAAGAACUGUCUCAAGUUGUAGUUCUACUUAUACAUUUGGCUUAUAAAGACAAAUUUAAGUAGAAUAAAGAAGCCAAAGUAUUGUUUGAUGUUUUAAAUAAAGAAAUUAUUUUUGUACCAAUCUUAUAUUGCAUCAAAUUUUUUAAGGCAUUUUUUAUGGAAAUAGAUGCAUCAAAUUUUGCCUUAGAUGCCAUAUUAUUAUAAAUGGGAGUAGAUGACAAAUUUUAUGCAAUAGCUUUUUAUUCUAAAAAAUUCUCAACAUCAAAGAUCAACUACAUAAUCUACAAUAAAGAACUUCUUGCAAUUAUGAAUUAUUUUUAGGAAUGACAUUAUUAUCUAGAAGGUACUUUUAAUCUAGUCACCAUAUAUACUGAUCACAAGAAGCUUUAGUAUUUCAUGUCAAUACAGAUGUUGAAUCAUUGCCAAGUUUAUUAGAGCAUGUCAUUAUCAAGAUUUGAUUUUAAGAUCAAAUAUCAAUUUAGAAAAUAACAAGAUUUAUUAGACACCUUUUUUAGAAGUUCUUAUAUGGCACCAAAAGAAAAAAAAAUGUAACUUUUGAUUAUCAAAGAAUCAUUCUCUUUAAGCCCGUGCAUUUUCAUCUUCAAGAAAUAAAAUCAAAAUUGAUCCUUGAUUCAACCUUUGUUAAGCAAAUUCAAUCAAGUAUGUCUUUUGAUCUUCUUGUUCAUGAUAUCAAGAAUGCUUUUUGUAAGUCUCAUGAUACUUUUAAGUUUAAAUUUAAAAAAAACCUACUAUAUUUCAAAAGUUGCCUAUAUCUUCUAGAAAACAAAGUACAAUUACGUGUUCUUCAAAUUCAUUACAACUUUCUUAUAACUAGAUAUUUUAGAUAUAAUAAAUCUUUGGAGCUAAUAUUUAGAGAUUUUUGGUAGCCGCAAAUGUAAAAAGUUGUGAAAGACUUUAUAUAAUCAUGUGAUAUUUAUUUAAGGUCAAAAAUUCUUCAUCAUCAAUCUUAUAGAUUUUUUCAAUUAUUGCAUAUAUUAAAACAACCAUGUUCUUAUAUUUCUAUAGAUUUUAUUAUAGAUUUUUUAAGUUCAAGUUCAUAUGAUUAUAUAUUCAUGAUUGUAGAUCAUUUCACCAAAAUAGCAUAUUUUAUACUAUAUACAAAAUUUAUUUUAGAUGAAAAAAUAACUAAGAUUUUCUUGAUAAUGUCUAUUACUAUCAUAAAUUGCCAAAAGAUAUUAUAUGAGAUAGAAGGAUACAAUUUAUAUCAAGAUUUUGAAAAAACUUUUUUAAAAUAUUAAAAGUGGAUAUAAAAUUAUCUUUGAUCUUUUUAUCUUCAAAUUAAUCGACGAAUAGAACAAGUGAAUUAAAUUUUGGAGUAAUAUUUGAGAUGUACCAUCAAUUAUCAUUAAGAUGAUUAGAUAACUCUUUUUCCAUUGGCAAAGUUUACAUAUAAUAUUUUGGUACAAUCUUCUACUUAAUCAAUACAUUUCUUUGUCAAUUAUAAUUAUCAUCUAUGAUUUAAUAGUUUUGACAUUUCAAAAGUUAAUAAUCCUACAACAAAAUAUUUGGCAAAUUAUUUGUCAUAGCUAUAUGCAAUAAUAAAGGUGCAAUUAAAAGAAGCUCAAGAAUGACAAAAAAUAAAUACACAUGCCUAUUGCAAAGAAAAACUAUAAUUCAAUGUGGAUGACAAGGUAUAAUUACUUUGUUACAGUAUGAAAACUACUUCUCCUUGUGACAAGUUGGACUAUCAUAGGCUUGAAUCUUUUCUUAUUUGAGAACAAAUCAAUCUAGUUUCUUAUUGAUUACAUCUACAGGAGUUAAUGAAAAUUUAUUCGAUAUUCCACAUAUCUCUUCUUAAGCCAUAUAAGACAAUAGAUAUUUUGAAAAGACACAAAUGCCACCUCCUUCUAUGAAAAGAAUAAUAAUCAAGAAUUCAAAAUAGAAGAAGUCUUAGAUUCAAGGUGGUACUAAAAUAGAUUAGAAUAUCUUAUUCAUUAGCAUAAAUAUGAUAUAAAUAAACGCACAUGGCAGCCAUCAAAGAAUUUUGUAAAUGUAGCAAAGAUAGUUGAGGCUUUUCAUUGACAACAUCCAUCAAAAUUAAGAUGAAGAAAAAUAAUUUUUAUGAAAGAUGAUGACUGCUCAUCAUAGAAUUUAUUUCUAAAAGAGGAAGUAAUGUCACAAACAUACAUAUUUACUCUAAUGAUUAUUUAUAUGAUUAGAUAGAAUUAGAUAAAAUUAGAUUAAUUUCAUAUUAUAAAGAUUUAAAUUAAAAUAGUAUCAAAGACAUAGUAGAUUAAAUUCAUUAACAAGUCUUGUUUCAAGACUUUUUAAUCUUCUUGUGAUUGGCAAUAGCCAAUUUAAUUGAAUAUUUUAUCAUUUUUAAGUAACAUAAGAAUAUAUUAAAUAUUCUUUCUUUGAGAUUAAUGUCCUUGAUACUAUUUUAAUUUGAAAGUUAAUAAACAUAUAGGUACUAGUUAAUAUUAAGCUUAUAACUAAGCAAGAAGUUUCUAUGUAUUCAGAUAUGUUGAAUCUAAAAUAAAUUAUUAUUUUUUUUAUUUUUUCUUUAGGUAAAAAUUCUUAUAUUGAUUUUUUCAUAUUUUACUUUUCUUCAUAGAUCAUAGUGACUUUAUUAAAAAAUACUUCUAUUUAUUUUCUUUAUAGACCAUGUCAAAGAUAAAGUAGGAUUUUUCUAUUCUUACAAAUAAUCCUAGAUGGUUGCAAUAUGUAAAUCCUAUUAAUGGAUCUUAAUUGGUGAAUUGAUUUAUAAUAUAAUUUUAAGAUAUUUUAAUUAUAGCAAAAUUUAGAUUAAAAUUCUAUUGCUUGUUUAAAUAUUUAUUACAAAUUAAAAGUGUUUUAAGGUUUCAAAAGACUUAUUAGAGAAAAUAUUAUAAAAAUGGAGUCAUAGUUAGUAUUAGAGGCAAUUAUCAUAGUUGAUUUAGUAAUUUUGCUUAAUAUUAAAUAUUAAUAUACCAUAUUGUACAAACCAAAAGGUGAGACUUAUCCAAUUUGUAACUAAGACAUUGCAAAUGCCCUAUUCUUAGCUUAUGGCACCUUUAGUAAACAAUUGUGUUUAUCCUGUUUUCAUGCUUUCAUAUUAAUAUUCCAUCUUGUUUUCACAACUAAGCACACCAAUCCACCAAACCUGGCUUCGAGUCAGCCUUGCCAAGCAAACAACUCCACCCAACUGAUUGCCCCCCUCCCUCUGAAUGAUCUGAACUUCUUAGACUUCAUAACAAAAAGGACUAUCACUGUAAAUACCUGCUGCCCUCUCAAAACAAGAGAUAGGUCCCACAACACGCAGUUUUCAAACCAACUACCUUAAUAAAUGGUUGUGAAUCCAACACAAGCAAAGGAAAGGCAUACCAAAUGCCAUGAUCAAACGCAUCCGAGAAGUACCACAAGGGCUUCGAAAUCAGAUGGAAAACCUAGCGGCAGAAAACAAAUCAGGUUCGAUGUAACGACCAGCAUGUGAUUGAACAUGUCCACUUAAUACGAUUGAUGUAACCAAAUGCUCCAUAAACAGUCAAUAAACUUGGUUAGACGGACACGCUAGUUGCAUAUC
RNAcentral lists this long non-coding RNA (85931 nucleotides) under Physcomitrium patens. RNAcentral describes it as "long non-coding RNA (PPAT_LNC004703)". The stretch from base 16823 to 16894 matches the Rfam family "tRNA". Lineage: Eukaryota; Viridiplantae; Streptophyta; Bryopsida; Funariales; Funariaceae. The record is from RNAcentral.